RNAcentral lists this long non-coding RNA (47529 nucleotides) under Ananas comosus (pineapple). RNAcentral describes it as "long non-coding RNA (ACOM_LNC008081)". Lineage: Eukaryota; Viridiplantae; Streptophyta; Magnoliopsida; Poales; Bromeliaceae. The record is from RNAcentral.
UGACUUCUUGGUUAAUUUUUCUAAAAAAUUUUAUAGCUAGCUAGCAAACUAACUAAGGACCCGUUUGGCUUAACUUUUAUAAAAGUGAUUUCUAAAAAAUUAAUUUUGAUUUGAAGAAGUGAUUUGGUUAAAAGUUGUAGAGCGUUUGGCUGAGUUUAAUUUUUCUGAAAUAAUUUUGAAAAGCUGUUUGACAAAUUUUUUUUUGAUGUUUGCAUAAAUUAAUAUUUUUAUUAAAUUUUAUUUUCAAAUAAGUUAAAAUCUAAAUUUAGAUUUGAAUUAAAAUUAUAAUUUGCAAAUUUCAAAAUUGUACAAAUUUAAAAUUUGAUAUUUUAAUUCAAAAAAUAAUUUAAAAUUUUAAAAUUAAAAAUUUAAAAAUUCAAAAUUUAAAAUUUAAAAUAAUUAUGAAAUAUAAAAUAUAAAAUUGAAAAUUGAAAAUAUAAAUUUAAAUUUAAAAAUAUAUUAUUUGAAUUUUAAAAUAUAAAAUUUAAAUAUUUAAAAAUAUAAUUUUAAAUUUUAAAUUUCAAAGUAUAAAUACAAAAUUUAAAAUUUAAAAUUUUAAAUUUUAAAAUAUAAAUAAUUAUGAAAUUUAAAAUAUAAAAUUUAAAUUUGAAUAUUAAAAAUUUUAAAUUUUAAAUUUUAAGUUUUAAAAAUUUAUAAUUUGAAGAUUAAAACUUGUAAUUUAAAUUUUAAAAGUUUAAAUUUUAAAAUUUAAUUUUUAAAAUUUUAUAAUUUGAAGAUUAAAUUUUAUAAUUUGAAGAUUAAAUUUUAUAAUUUGAAGAUUAAAUUUUAUCUUAAAUUUGAAAUUUGAAAUCUAAGAUUUGAGAUUUGAAAUUUAAAAUUUAAAGUUUGAAAUCUAUUUUUCAAAUUUUAAAUUUUAAAAGUUAAAAUUUAGAAAUUCAAAAAUAAAUCUAAAAAUAAAAAUUAAAAAUUAAAUUGAAAUUUAAAUAUUGAAUUUAAAAUUAAAAUAUAAAUUUGAAGUUUGAGUUCAAAAUUAGAAUCAGAUUUCAAGAAGCAACUUUUCUGAUUUUGUGGUCUUUAAAAUCAGUUUUCUGAUUCUAAGAAGCAGAAUCAGAUUUUAAAAAUAAGGUUGUCAAACACUCUAUUGGACCGAAAAUUAUUUUUCAGCCUAAAAGCGCUUUUUAAAAGCUAGGCCAAAUACUCCUUAACACUUUCAAUCCAAAAAAAAAAAAAAACACUGCUAUGGCUAUGAAAGACUAUAUGCAUGUGGACGGAAAAAAAAAUUUUUAUGUGCAAAUUUGAAUUCACCGAAAAGGAUUAUAUGCAUGUGGACGGAAAUGAAAAUUUUUAUGUGCAGAUUUGAAUCUACCGGAAUGAGAGUGGUUUUCUUUUUACUGGGAUGAAAAGAGAGAGGGCUUUAUCUGGAAAUUGGGUGGAGGAAUGAAUGCUACUUGUGGUGUCAUUUCCCACACGCUAACGCAAGUGACAAAGAGUUUGGUGGUUGGUACUAGAGGUCCUAAGUUCGAAUCCUAGUUGAUUUUCAUUUCUAGCUAAGUUUAUUUCUAAAUAAAAUAAAUGAAACGGGUAGUGUACUAUCUAUCUCUCAAAAAAAAAAAAAUAAUUUGUUCUGUGGGCUCUUGUAUGCAAAUGGAGUAUAUAUAUUUGCAUUAUCUUCAAUGAGAGGGUACUUCAAUUAGUUGUAACCGCCGUUAAAUAUGGUUUAAGUUGUUUGAAUUUUUUAUAUUUCAAAUUUUACAAAAGUUGACGUUAUUUGCUUAUUAGUAUCCAAGUGGUCUCUAAAAUUGACUAUUUUUAAAGAUUAAUAUAAGAUGAAUCUAAAAUCAUAUAAUUAAAAUGCAAAUGAUAUUGAAAAAUUACAAAAUCGAGCCAAUAAACCGUCAAAAAGAUUAAUAUUAUAUUUAACUAUAUUAAUCAUCAAUAUAAAUACCCAUCGCCCAAGACAUAUGGUAGUAACCAAGUAUUCUAACUUCCUACUUUAAAGAAAGUUUUGUAGGGAUUCUAUUUCAGCUGAUUGAAAAUUUGUAACGGCUCUGUCCUGUUAGUAAUAAUAAUUCGUUGGGUCAAAAUCAUUAGCUCAAAAUAUUUAAGUUCAGUUAUAUUAGCAAUCAUAAAUCCUAAAGUUCAAACUAUUCGACCAAAAUGCUUAAACUCAGUUGUAACAUAAAAUUACAUACUACUGGCUCUUCUGCUAGUAAUAAUAAUUUGCUAUAUCCAAACCACUGGAUCCAAAUGCUUUAGUCUAUUUAUUAGUAUAAGAGCUUCCGUUCUCUAUAUUCUCAAUUAUAAUUUCUUUUUCAUUAUAUAUGAAACUAUUGGAUCGUCACAAAAUUCACCCGAAGAAAUCCGGACAUAUGCGGGCAGAGGUAUUUGUUGCCAGUUCUACUCCUUGGCUGCAUAAUUUCUUAGAAUUUUAAAAAUAUUUGGCACAAUAUAUAAUCUAUGAGUAUUACUAUCUAUGAAUCUAUAUAUAGAUUAUAAUUAAACUGUACAUCUUAUUUAUUUAUUUUCUUCUGAAAGUGGUCUUAUCAAUUUUUUUUAUUUUUUUUCGCAUUAUAAACCUAAAACGGAUUUAUCAACUGGGAUGUAACAUACAUACAAAGUAGUAGGUGCACAAGCAGCAUUAGAAUUUUUUAAAAAAUAUAUAUUUAAUAAUUUAUUUGAAGUAUUUUGUAAAGAGUACCUUGUUAGAAAGAGCGCAUCUUGGUGGAGAGGAGAUCCAACGGUGGGAGGGGGGCUGCUCCUGUUCUUGAUAUCCUUGAACUUCUUGAUACCCACCUCCUUGCACAGCUCCGCAUCCGCCACGAUUACCAACGGUUGCCUCCCCAUGUGGAACCUGCGCUCAGUUCAGUUUCUUCGUCAUAAAUUAAAUUCGUCUGUAAUCCUCUCAUUCAACUGAGCGCUAAAACGCAACAAGUUUUAUAUAUAUAUAUAUAUAUAUAUAUAUAUAUAUAUAUAAAACGUGAUUUAGAGUGAAAAAAAGGUGAAUUGGUUACCUAAAUAUUGGGCCGUACUCCUUAGCGAAGACGCGCAGAAUAUCUGGACCGUACUUGGCGAGCGCGGGGAGGUGUCCGACGAGAAAUGUGGCGGGAGGUCCUGGAACGGCUCUCACCCUCCAGUAAGGUAGAUAGAAGUACACUAGAAAAGCAACCAACAAGAUUACUGAGCUCAGCAGGGGAGGAGCACAACCUCUCACAAGGUUCAUCUCGGUAUUCUCCCAUCCACUCAACCAACCUCUCAACAAAUCCAUGUUCAGACUUUAAAGAGAAAGAGAGAGCUAAGAGAUGUGUUUGUUCCACAGUUUCUGGGCUACGUAUUUAUAGAGGGAUCUCUCUUUUCUAGAACAAACAAUGUGCUCUCUCCUCUCUCCUAUAUAUAUCACUAAAAAUAAUUUGAUGGAAAGAAGGUCCCUAUCCUCCUAAAAGAAUAGCAGUUGGAUUUUAUAUAUAUAUAUAUAUAUAUAUAUAUAUAUAUGUAGAACUAGGCUGAAAUACUAUCAAUAGUAUCAAACUAUAGGUGUUAUUAAUUUUUUAGCCUUUGGAUUGAAAAAUGUGCGAUUAGGAUAAUGUGGACUCCUUAGGAUUGAGUGGGUGGUUGGUUGGUUGAAUAGUAUAAUCUAAUAGGUAAAAAUAAUCAAUGGGUUAAAUUUAACGGUAAAAAAGUCGAUAGCACCAAAUCCUUGAUGCUAUCCAAAGUAUCCAAGCCAGACUCUAUAUAUAUAUAUAGUUUUUGAAUAUGAACAAUUUUGCAACUAAUCGAUAAAGAGGAAGAGAACGGCCCCCUCGCGCAGGAUUCACUUUCUAAAAGAGAGACGUUAAAGACGAGCCUACGACGGGUGCUACUGGACGAAGCUUCGGUUUGGAAAACCAGGGCCAAACAACACUGGCUGCGGGAGGGUGAUGGCAAUACUAAGUUUUUUCAUUCUAUAGCGAACGGUAGACGGAGAGCUAACUGGAUUGCUAGCGCAGAUGAGAAUGGGGUCAGUUAUCAUUCAGAAGAGGAGAAGAAGUGCUACUUCUAUCGGUACUAUAAGGCGCUUUUCUCACCGGAUCAAUCAACCCCAACUACAUUCGGGGACUGGAGCAACUUAUUCCAGUGUAGUCGGGUGGACGCCUCCGAUCUAACGAGGCUAACUGCACCUUUCGGCAUCGAUGAAAUAAAGCAGGCCGUGUUCCAACUGGGGAGGGAUAAGGCGCCGGGCCCGGAUGGCUUUCCACUUAGCUUCUAUCAGACGUUCUGGGACACUGUCAAGGAGGACAUCGUAAAUCUUUUCCAAGAAAUGUACGAGGGGCGCCUAGCCACGGCACCCAUAGACUACGCCUUCAUUUGCCUCAUCCCCAAAAAAGAGGGGGCAGUGUAGGCAACCGACUUUCGCCCCAUAAGUCUGCUCAACGGGAUCCAAAAGAUCAUUUCUAAGGUCCUGGCCAAUCGCCUCGAACAGAUCAUGGGGGACCUAAUAUCUCCUUUGCAGUCUGCCUUCCUAAAAGGGAGGAACAUCGUAGAUGCUUACGCGACGGUUGCAGAAAUCGUCGCUUGGGGCACCAAAAGGGCGGUGAAAGGAGUGGGGGUCAAGGUGGACUUCGAGAAAGCGUACGAUAGGAUCUCCUGGCCUUUUCUAUUUCGUAUACUACGAUGGUGGGGUUUCGACGAUAAGUGGUGCGGUUGGCUAGAACUUUGUGUAUGCUACGCGAAAGUAGCUAUCCUAGUCAACGGAGAGCCAACAAACUGGAUCAAGACAAGAAGAGGCGUUAGGCAGGGGGAUCCGUUGUCGCCUUUCCUAUUUUUGUUGAUAGCGGAGUGCCUAGCUCGUAUGACUAACGCAGCGGUCUCAAACUCGCUGCUCAAAGGCUUGGGACCUUCUGACGCAAGUAGGGUCUCUCUGAUCCAAUUUGCGGAUGACACCUUCUUCUUCUGUGAGGCUAGGAAAAGGCAUAUGCGGAACCUCAGAUUUGUAUGGGGGCUCUUUGAAUGGGCCUCGGGGUUGAGAGUCAACAGAGAUAAAUCGGAAUUGUUCUACCUGGGACAAGAAGAUGGCAAAGCUGCAAGCCUUGCGUACAUUCUGAAUUGUAGAGUAGGGGUAUUUCCGACGAAGUACUUAGGACUCCCCUUGUCCCCUAAGCCACCUAAUAAGGAGGACUGGAGGGGGAUUAUCCACAAGAUACACUGUAAAAUUGAUGGAUGGCAUGCCAAACUUCUCUCUAGGGGGGGAAGACUCAUCUUGGUUAAUGCGGUUCUAACCAAUCUACCGUUGUACUUCUUAUCGGUGUUUAAGGCUCCUAAAUGGGCGAUUAAACGGAUUGAAACGCUUAGAAGAGACUUCUUCUGGAAUGGAGGACGUAACUCCGUGGGAAAGGGCUGCCUGGUGGCUUGGAAUAAUGUCUGCAGGAGUAAGAAGGAAGGAGGGCUAGGUAUCUUGGAAGUUGCGAGCAUGAAUCAAGCCCUUCUGGUUAAAUGGUGGUGGAAAUUCCACACAGCUCCCCAGUUACAGUGGAAUCAGCUAGUCAGAGACCUGUAUUACCGAAGGCGUACUCCUUUGAGGGAAGGCAAAACUUUCAGACCCUACUCUAGCUCGUGGAAGGGGGUGCUGAGCCUUAACUAUAUUUUUUCUUGGGGAAUGGCUUACAACCUGGGCAACGGGCGGGCUAUCGAUUUUUGGCACGAUCGGUGGUGUGGGGACAAUUUGCUGUUUCUUUUGUUUCCGACGGUCUACCUUAUGUCUGGGGGGAAAAACCUGAAAGUAGGCGAUUGUUUUACGAGGGGAAGGUGGAACUGGUCUUUGAUUGAGGGCGGCGCUGCGGGUCAGAGUCGAGGGACGAGGGCCAGUCUAGGGGACCUAGAGGAACGUAUCUCUGCGCUCUCGGUUCGAUCCACACCGGACAGGUUACUUUGGCGAUGGAGCGCGGAUGAACUAUUCACGGUAAAAUCAACCUAUAGGGCGUUGACGGAUGGGGGUACGAGGGAUGCUCGAGCCUCGCGUGUUUGGAGACUCAAAAUCCCUUUAAAGGUAAAGAUGUUCUGCUGGCUGGCCCUUAGGAAGAGAACGCCUACGAGGGACAAGCUCUUCAAGAGAGGAUGGAUUCAAGACCCAACCUGUGUACUCUGUGGGUCGGAAGACGAAUCUGUGGACCACAUGUUUUCCCAGUGUGUUUUUACCUAGUUUAUACUAGUAAUGGGGUUAGUGGGCGUGCAAACACAAGACCUGGGGGACGGGGUGAACCUAGUCUGGGAUAGAUGGUCCACGAGGAAGAGCCUACACACGAAGAGGUCCAGUCUCACUGAGCUAGUUUGCUGCUGGUGGGUCGUUUGGAAAGUCAGAAAUGAUUUCAUCUUUAGGAAAACCCUGCCGAAUCCGGAAACAGCGAUCCGCUAUCUAAAUCAGCUGAUGAAGGAGUGGGAUUCACUGCUCUCAGCUGCCGAGAUGUGAUCUACUCUUGUUCUACUGCUUUACCUCUUUUUUUUUUUCUUUUUUUUUUUUUUUUAGUCUCUUAGGGGCCCAAGUUGUCCCACUCUUGUAGCCUAGUUCACCCUCCCAUUGAAUGAAGCGGGUAGCGUGCUAUCUUUAUCUAAAAAAAAAAAUAAUUUUGCAACUAAAAUUUUAAAUUCAGACUGACUGCCCCUAACACAAGUGGAAAAAAAUUUAAUGGUUGGUAUCCCGAGGUUUCAAGUUCGAAAUCUAGUUGCUUUAGAUUUUCAGCUAAAUUUAUUUCUAAAAAAAAUAAACGAAGCGGAUAGCAAACUAUCUUUCUCUCUAAAAAAAAAAUUUGAGUUCAGCUCACAUAAAAGAUAUACUAACAAACUUUACUAUGAAGGCUCAAGGUGAUCAACCGAAUAAAGUAGAGAACUAAUGAGAUCAACCAUAGGUUUAGAUAUUAUACAAAGAUGAAAUGAAAAUGGCAAUUUAAAAAAAUGAAUGAUUUAGAUCAGGUUUGUGAAACAAUUAAUUAAUUUUUUUAUAUUCAACAAAGUCUUUACAGUGCAAUUAUGAGUACACAUCCAUAGAUUUUUUUUUUUUUCUCUCUUACUGCCCCACAAAAAAAAAAAAAAAAAUCUCUUAAGGUGGAAGAUAUUUCUACACGCAACCAUAACCUUAAUUUAUUGACCGUAGAAUGCCAUAGAAAGAGAAAAAGCUUGAAAGUAUCAGAAGAUUCUUACAAAAGUGCACUUCAUAGUGCGAUGUAAAAUGAGGGGAAUCUUGAAAUUUUGGCCUUAAUUUUGGUACUCCCAAGUUACCCUUUGCAUACCUCACACAUUGUUAAUUUGGCUACUAAACACGUUUCAGAAAAAAUAGUUUGAGCACUAAUGAGCUAUAAUAGCUAAUUAAAAUAUAUUAAAAUACUAAUUGAACAGUAAGGACCAAUCAUUAAUUUGCGAUAAGGCUACAAAAUGAUAAAAUCAUUAAAAAGGUAAAUAGGUGGAGUUGUCAUGUGUGGUGUUGAAAUGAAAGCUUCAAUAGUUAGUUGUGAUAUGCAAACCUUCUUCACCGUUGAAGGUGCUUAGUUUUGUCCCCAGUCCUUUUGAUAGUGCAAAGCGCAAUCAAUAUAUCACUGUAGAUGAACAUGUCUUCGUCGGUGUCAUCGACUAGAAUAGAAUCUCGAUCAAUAUUCUUCUUUAUUCCAUAUUCUAGAAUAAUAAUAUCAACAUAUAUUUCAACGCAUGUAUCUGUCUCAGUAACAUCCGUCAAUGCUGUUAAUAUCAUGAUAUUUAUAUAUUAGAGUUAUAUCUAGACCGCUGAAAAUGAUCCUAAGCGAAAAAAGAAUAUCUGUAAGCGAGAAAUAGAAACAUGUGCAGCUUUAUUUGUAAAUUUUUAUACUCAAAAUGAUCUCCAAAGCUAACCUAAUAUAUCUAAGUUCUUUCUCCCUGCAAUUUUAUUUUUAACUUUUAUCCUUAGCUAGAAAUCAUGAUAAGUCACACUUUUUUCUAACCCCUGUUUUGAGGGAAACCAUGAUGAAUCGCACUAAACUCAGAGUUAUAGCUCGCUGAGCCAUAGCUACAGAAAACCAAGAAAGUAAAAUAAGUGCACAAGAUACAAACGUACACAACAAUAAAAAGCUUCAUAACUAAGAUCUCUUGGUCACAAGAAGCCUGACACCAUGCUUAAAAUUGGCUACAAUUCCAUAUUGGAACUGCAGAGGGGAUUCCAUCAAGGGGGAGUGCCGGAAAAUGUAGCGUCGGUAGAGAUGUAUGGCAGCUAACUUGAUCUCGAGGAUCGCAAAUUUCUGACCGAUGCAUGCUCUGGGUCCGAUCCCGAAGGGUAUGAACGCGUACGGGUGCCUCUGCUUCUCUUCGUUGCAAUUCGGAUCGAACCGCUCUGGACGGAACGCAUUGGGUUCGGGGAAGUUCUUGGGAUCUCUAGCCAUGACCCCUGGAGCUAGCCACACCCAUGUGCCCUACAUGGUGAGCCAAAAAAAAAAAAAAAGAGCAUAAAUGCUUUACUUAUACAUUGCUUUUACUAUCUAAUAAAAAAAAAAACUUAAAAUUUUAUAUUUUAGAAAUGAAUUGAUUGCAAACUUUCUCUGAAAUUUAUAUGUACCUUCGGAAGGACAUAGCCUCCAAGCUCAACUUGCUCUGAUGUUUGCCUCGCAAUCAAUGGCGACACAAAGAAGAACCGCAUCACCUCUUUUAUCACCUGUAAAGAUAAAUUGAAAUUAAUCAUCUUGUAGGCAUCAUUAAUUACUAAUUAGAUUCUCUUUGCAUUAAUUCAAACUGAUAUAUAGUCUUUCAUGUUUAAAGAAAAACUGCGUUGCGCAUACAGUUACGUACGGAUACUCAAAAUGUAUUUGUCAUUUUUUACGCUUUGGGCAUUCGCAUAAUUCAGUUGGUUCUUAUAGAUUUUGUGCUUGAGUUUUGCUGCAAAGUUGGAUCUUAUAAAGUAAUUUCUAAUCUCCGUGUCUAUUUGAUCUACGUCCUUUCUUAGAGCAGCUAGUUUUGUGUUUUUAGAAGAACGAAAAAUCGGAAACACAAAGUUCAACACGCCUGAUCAAGGUAGGGAAACUUGUGCUGCAGAUCAUCGGCGGUCGGAACUCGAUCACGCGGACCGAACUGAUCGAUCUCCUCGAUCAGCUUUGCCUCCACCUCGGGGUGUUUCGACACCAAGUAAAGAAGCGAGGCUAUGGUAAAUGAGCUCGUCGUCGACCCAGCAAGAAGGUGCUCAUACGUAAGUGCGCUCACGAAGUCCGGCGUGAGCAGCUCCCGCGCCGCCUCAUCCUUGUCCCUCGCAUUCAACACAACCGAUAAGAAAUCCUUUCGCCCUCUAUCGAUCUUUUGUGCUCUCUUGGUAACUAUUUCAUCCAUUCUCUUACUUAGCCUGGAGUUGGUUUGAUCAAUCUUAAAAUCCGCGGUCCACGGAAUUCUCUUUAGUAUGUGUCUAAAUGGUUCUUGGAGGAAUGGAAUGAGAAGGCCCAGCAUGAUAGAGAAUGAGCCACUUAGGUCCAUUUUGAGUGAGGUUGUGGCGUACACAUGUUUUUGUACGAAAUCCGCGACUUCUUCUUCUGGUUCUUCUGCUUCUGCUGCUUCUGCUUCUCCUUUUUCUUGUUUCGCGAGGCCGAAAUCGAUACCAAAGGCGGCCUCGCCGAUGAUGUCGGUGGAGAGUUUGAUCGAGAAAUCAGAGAAGGUGAUGUCCUCGUCUUCUUUGAUUGUAGAGAGUGUUUUUGUUGAGCGCUCUAUGUGGGAUUGCAUUGUGGGGAUUAGGCUAGCUAGAUGCGAAGGUUGGUAUAUUGCGACAAUGAUGUUUCUCAUGGAGGACCAUCUUGAAUCCCUGCAUAUACCAAAAUUAUGGAAAAAAAAAAUAUUGUUUUAGCAUAUCUAUUAUUUAUACAGGCAUUAAUUAUCAAAGCCUUCCCAAUGGCUUUCUGUUGUAGCGUAUAGAGUUUGGAAGCUUAUUUCAGCUCUCAGCCAUAGCAAAGCCGAGUUAAAUGAAUACUUAAUGAUGAUAUAUAUAUAUAUAUAUAUAUAUAUGUAAGGUUUACCUUGUGAAAAAGAGACCUUUUUGGUGGAUAGGAGAGUUGGUGAUUGGAGAGGGCAUGCUCCUGUUGGGGAUGCUUUUGAACUUCUUUAUUCCUACCUCUCGGAUCAGUUCUGGAUCAGCCACAAAAAUUAGAGGUUGUCUCCCCAUGUGGAACCUGGAUCAAGCACAAUUAAUGUUAUGCCUAAUUAAUUAGUUGUACAGGCCCAAGAGAAAAUUCACUCUCGCUUUGGUUGUGUCAUUAUAGUUAGCUCGACUUUUGUGUUUGUAGGAUGUGGUUGCAUCGCAAAUUGGCCGUUGGGCUUGGCCAUUUGAAAAUGCAGUGGCAAAGCGCAAAAGCAGAAAUCCUACAUUCCGUCAAAAGAAGCUCUCAGUCUGGUGAGAAGUUGCCGUGAGCGAUCGCUAAGCAGCGCCGAACAGGUCGGGCUGAGAUUGGAUUGAGCAUUAAUGGGCCAAAUUUGGCCCUAGUAGCCUUAACAUUUUUACUAUUCAUUUUUCACAAACUUCUUCAUUUUUCACAAACUUCUUCUACCUUGGACCUACCAUUAAAAAAAAAGUCAAUUUUAUACAGCUCUAUAUAAACGUAUCGAAUAAUACAUAUAUUCCUAUAAAAUUUAAUUUUUUAUGUUUAUUCCUAAAAAGUCCAGUGAUAUUCAUAUUUUUCCUCUGGUUUGUUACUGUAAUAUUCCUUUAGUUUGUUACCGUUAGAGCACUGUUUAUUUUUUAACAGAAAAUAAAUGAAAAGAUUUUUUUGUCAUUACAAAUAUGUUCUUGAAAAGCCCCAAUUGUUAGAAUUACGUAGAAUAUCUUCCCAAAAAUCUCUAACGGACCGACUGUCCCUAGAGCAAGUGGCAAAGGCCUUGGUGGUUGGUACCUGAGAUCCCAAAUUCGAAUCCUAGUUGAUUCACAUUUCCAGCUACGUUUAUUUCUAAAUGAAAUAAAUGAAGCGGGUAGUGUGUUACUUAUCUCUCAAAAAAAAAAAUCUCUAACGAUCAUCUUCUUCUUUUCUACCAUCACAAAUAAUAUAAGAGGGAUAAACAUUUUAAUUUAUUCCAUUCACUAAUCAGGAUUAAGUAUUUUACAUAUGAUUAACUAUAUUUUUCUAAAUAUCUAUCUGUAUCACAAAAAAAAAAAAAAAAAAAAAAAAAAGCGUUUGAUUCAAGAUGCAUAAGGCCAGGAUUUUAAACUGUGCGCCUUAAUAGUAGGCCCUGCCAGGCCGGCCCAAUAAAAUUAUAUUGAUGUGGAAGUUUAAUUAAUCACUCUAUUAGACUAUCUAUAUCUUUCUUAAUCAACUUGUGCGCCUUUUAAUCCAAGAGCUCUGAAUUCCACAGCUGCUUACCCUGUUCUGCAAUUUCAUAGUUAAACUAAAGGAUUGUAGGGUCUAAUUGGCUCGGCUGCUCAAUUGCAAAGUGAAGUGCACAACAACAUAAUCGUAAAGUUCGCAGAAGCUAGGCCAAACUGAUAGUAACCUUAAAGCACGCAAAUGCGCAAUUGUGCACCUUUUCAUUUGAUUCACGAAAAUAAAGAGAAGAGAUUAUCGGAACCUGAAGAUGGGGCCGUAGUUCUUGGCGAGGAUGCCGAAUAAAUCGAGCUCAUAUUUGGAGAGCAAAGGGAGGUGGCCCACGAGCGGAGUCACCGGAGGUCCGGGGACCUUCCUCACUUUCCAGUAUGGCGCGUAGAAAUAAAUCAAAAAGCCCACCACUAAACUCACCGACGCAAAGAGAUAAACUAAAACCAUUUCUCUUGAUCUAUUUCUCUCUUUGUUGAAGAUGGUCGUGAUGGCUCCUUUUAUAGAAUGACGAUGCUAAGCGACCUACUAACUACUUUAAACAAAUAAAUUUAACCAAUUAAUUCUAAACUGGGGAUUAUGUCUCAAAAAUAAGAUUCACGGUUUAGCGUGAUUGGUUGGCUCAUUGCUUGCUUAGUCUCACUGCAGGUGACCAAUUCUAGUUAAAUAUACAAGAUUUUGAGUACCCAUCUGUUCCAAAGACUAAAUUGGAAGUGAUAAUAUUUAAAAAUGAGUUUUUAAAAAAAUUAUAAAUUUAUAAUAUUUAAACGUGCAUUAAAAUGCCUCUGAAGAUGCUUCUUGGACGGCUCUUGUACUUAUUACCUGAGAUUCCGAUGGGAGCUGCUGAGAUGCUGAUGCUACCAUUUAAACGUUUAGUUAUCGCUGUUUGAACAUAUUAUUAUUAUUUUUUAUUUUGUAUUAUUAUUUUAUUUUUUUGGAAAUAAAAUAAUUUAAUUCUUUUGAGUUUCCUAGCGUUAUUUCUCUUUCUCACCUUUUCUUUUAUUUUAUUCUAAUUAUUUUGGAAGGCAGUUGGAUUGCAGGGUUCCCUUUGAAGUUAGGAUAGAAUAUAUAUAAUAUAGAGAGAGAGAGAGUUGGGUUGAAAUACUAUCAAUAGUAUUUUAGAUUUUUUUACUAUUGAAUUAUACCUCUUAUUCUAUUGUAUUUUCAUCAAAUAGGGGGCAGAAAGACUAUGGAAAAUAGUGGUUCAAUUCGAUGGUGGUUCAAUUCGAUGUUGUCUAACGAGAAGUUAGAGCAUAGGUAUGGUUUAAGUAAAUCGAUGGAAAGUCUUGAUGCUAUUGGCCAUACCAGUGGAAGUGAUGAACCCCUUAUAAAUGAUAAGGAGAAAAAUUAGAGUGAUAGUAGUCCUACUAGCACAGUAAUCUUAUUCUAUAUAUAUAUUAUAUUAUUCUUUUUUUUUCUUCUUCUUUUUUUUAAUUAAACAGGAAUAUACCCUAUUUGAAAUAUAUUAUAAAUAUAUUAUAUUAUUCUUAUGAUAAAUAAUGUCAACUUGCGACAAACGAUCAUGAGAAAAGGCAAGGCACAAUGUCUAGGUCAAGUAGAAAAUUAUUGCAAAACCAAGUAGUAUUAAAAUUAUAUUAUCAGAAAAUUAAACAAAUCAUCUGGGUUAGGUGAUUGACCUAUGGUCGAAAGCGAACGGUUAAUUUCUUGCUGCUUAAUCUAAACCCAUGGAAUCAUCGCUCACAAUGGAAGAAUAAAAAGAAACAGAGGAGUUUCUAAUAAAAGUAGAAAAGAAGAAGCAGCAGCAGAAGCAGCAGCAGCAGCAGCAGCAGAAGAGAAAGAGAAAGAGAAAGAAAUGGAGGGGCUAAGAGGGAUUCCUUCACUACUCGGAUCACGAGGAGAAGAUGGGGAAGAGCACAUAGCCUCUAACAUCACUGAGGUUUCCAUAAAUCUCUUUGCUAAUCAAACCUUUCUCGUCUCUUUUCAUCUAUUUGUAACAGGGGAAAGGCCACCAUUUUGUGCUGUCUCCUUUGGCAUUGGUUUAAACUGGAAGGAACACUAAUCUCUAGUUGACAGGUUUAUAACACAAAAUAGAGUCUCGACCUGUGUAUAAUCUGAGGGUAGUUUGGGACCGAGCAUUUAAACAUACGUGGUAUCAGAGCAUUUAAACAUACAUGUUACCAAGUGAAUGAAUUGACCAAAAGUUCUUGAUAAUCAUGAUAUUUAGGAUCUCACGCAACUAACAACCGGCACCAGGCCUCUUGAAUUGUACCUCUUAUUUUGAGCUGCUCUAUUACUGUUAGGAAACCUUGUAGUUUCGUAGUUGAAAUGUUUGGCCUUAAUAAACAAUCUUAAGAGUCUAGUGUUCAAUCUAUUAAGUUAUUUCAAGAUGCGGGGAAAUUAAUAUAUCUAUUUAUGCAUUUUUGUUUUGAAGUGAUGAAUCAUCUCACAGGGAAGAAAGAAAAGAAAAGAAAAGAAAAAAAAAAAAUCAUCUAUCAUGGAACGAGUAAUGACCAUUUUAUUUAUCUAUCAUGAAAAAUCAGUCUCUCAAAUGGAGAAAACUGAACCACACAUGCUAUCUUAUUCAGCUGAUAGGUUGGACGCCACUUAUUGAACUAAAACGGAUCGCGAAUAAGGACGGAAUAAAUGCCCGAGUGAUCGGAAAGUUCGAAUCAUAUCAACCCCUUUCCUCCGUUAAGGACCGAAGUGCUCUCAGGUCGGUGAGUGGAUAUUGUACCAUUUCCUGUUAAUGCUUCUUAUCACCAUUUUGUAUUCAAUUUUACCCGCGCAAGGUUGUUCGACCUCAGACAAUGUGAUAAAGCUGAAUUGCUAAUAUAUAAGUAGCAUCUGCAUGCAUUUUGAAACAUUUCUUUUUACUAAAUAGAACCAUAAGUGAUGUUGAUGCAUUGCUUCCUUCUUUUUUUUUCCCUUUUUUUGGCGAGUGUAGAAUGAUAGAAGAUGCAGAGGAGAAAGGGCUUAUCUCACCUGGCGUUACAACGUUGGUUGAGUCCACAAGUGGUAAUCUUGGGAUUGGUCUAAUGUACAUCGCUCUUCAGAAAGGUUACAAGUUUAUUGCAGUUACGUUUGCUAAGCUUUCACUGGACAAGCAGAUUCUGUUGAAAUAUUUGGGUGCCGAAGUGUCAUUAACUGGUAUGAAAGUAAUAUGCAUUCUUUGUUAUUUAAAUUUUGUUCAUGUUUCAACUUUUCUUUUUGAUUAGAAGAAAAACAGUUAACUUGAUAAAAGAAAGUUCUUUCCUGGGCAGGAUCUAUCAAAUAUUAUUGUUAUUUAAUCCUUUUUUUUAUCUGCUAGAUUUUACAGCUCUCCAUAUUAUGUGCAUUAUCUUUAUUUAUGAUUAUGAAUAUGGCGUUUCUUUGUCGUUUGAUGUCUCCUAAUUGCAUUACUGACGAGAGUUAUAUCUCGAAUUUGCCCCUUUGCAGAUCCUGCACUUGGAUUCAAGGGGAUAUUUGAUAGAAUAGAAGAGCUGAAAAAGGAAAUACCUAAUGUUCAUGUUCUCAAUCAGUUCACUAAUCCAGCAAAUCCGGAAGCCCACUUCAGAUGGACUGGUAUAUAUUUAUCCAUAAAUAAUGUAUCAUGCUGAAACUUAUGCCUCGAAUGAUCGACAGAUUAGAAAACUAAGUCAAUCGUUAUGAAUUACAUCGGUAACUACGGGUUUGAUGAAUUUAUUGUGUGGAUACUUGGAAAUAAAGUUUUUAUCUUAAUUCGCAGUACAGUUCUAUAGGAACAUCAGUACAGAUAAUAAAAAAAGGAUAAACAACAUUCUAGUUAUGUGAAUUAUAAACAGCUCACUUUCCUUGUUUUUCUGUGGUAUGAAAAAUUGUGACCUAAUAUGAAUGUUCGCAGCUUGUUAAUUUGAUCCGUUACUCGUCCUGAAUACAAAUGAAAUAAUUGAGUUAAGACUUUCUUCUAAGGUUUCCACAUUUUAUUGUUUGCUAGAUAGAUUAAUAUGUCAAGAGCUAGUAAUGUUACUGGAAAUUACCUCGCUGCUCCUUAUGUAUCUAUUGCAGGGCCUGAGAUAUGGCACGACACGGCAGGCAAAGUGGACAUUUUUGUAGCCGGCGUUGGUUCAGGAGGCACUCUAUCCGGUGCAGGAAAGUAUCUGAAGAUGAAAAAUCCGGAUAUAAAGAUAAUAUGUGUCGAACCUGCAGAGAGUGCGGUAAUUUCAGGUAGGUAAUUCGAUUCAUGACAUCCAGUUCGACCUCUAUAAUAUGCAUUAAGUGAAUGUCCAACUUAAAAUAAGAUUGUUUCUAUAACAAACUGCAUUUUCAGGGGCAUCUCAGCCUCAUACUUCAAUAACAUCUUCAUAAUUAUGUAGGUGGUGAACCAGGUUCUCAUAAAAUCCAGGGUAUCGGGGCCGGUUUUAUUCCAGAAAAUGUGGAUACAUCCUGCAUUGAUGAGGUCGUUGCGGUGACCUCAGACGAAGCCAUGGCCAACGCAAGAAGGCUGGCAACGGAAGAAGGAUUGCUUGUCGGGAUAUCUUCAGGCGCGAAUGUAGCGGCUUGCUUAAAGGUAGUCUUUAGUUCAGGUCCGCGAAAAAAGGGACCUCUUUUUUUUUUUUUUUCUUUCGAAGAAUAAACAGUAGAAAUAUGAUUCAUGUAACAGGUAGCAGCUAGAGAAGAAAACAAAGGAAAAAUGAUUGUUACCAUGUUUCCGAGCGGUGGUGAAAGAUACGUAAACUCCGAACUCUUUGCGCAGGUGCGGGAGGAAUGUAUUAAUAUGACCUUUUGAUGUGUGUGUCAUGUGUAAUACCUAUAUCUAUAGUACUCUGCUUCGUUCUGAGGACAAUAAAAUUCUUAGAAGGGGUACCAAGAGUUCUGAUUCUUGCAUUAUUUUUCUGAAAGCAUGUAAUCUACUCUCAUGAAAUUUCUGUGGUGUUAUUGAGCGAGUAAAAUGGAUAUUCAGUAAACAUCCUAAUUACGUUCUUUGUUUUUUUUUUGUUUUCUUCUUCUGAAUGCAACCAAGUAAUUAUCUAAAUAAAAGGAAGUUUCGAAUUUGCUCAAAAAGCAGAUUACUUUUUUACCAAUUUUUUUUUUAAAAAAAUUAUUUUUUCUUUGUUAUUCGACUUGAUCAUAUCAAACCAAACCUGCAUAUGCUCUGGGUUGCGGUCUCAAUUAAACAGCUCCAAACACGUCUUGCUUUUCAUACGGCAUUAUGUUGGACUCGUCAUUAAAUGAGUUUGGGCUCGAGCUCAACUUAACCAUAUAAAUAAACAAGCUUGGCAUGAAUUUAUCUCAACUUGCUCGUGAGUCGUGAUCGGCUCGUUUAUCAAACGAAACCUCCCGCUAUGCUGACGUGGCGAGUACGCCGAUCCCGAUUAUGAUCCGUCUCCUCUAAAAAAACUCUCUUCUCAUAGAAGAAAAUUAAACUUUCGAUCCCCCACUCUCCCCCAAAAAUAAAAUAAAAUCAUAAUGGUGAAGAAACUCUCCGGCGAGAGGGAGUAUAAGGUCACGGUGGCGGUGACGAGACUCGAGGGUUUACCACCCUCGGGGGAGGCGACUACGACGAUAGCGGCGGUGGAGCUGCGAUGGAACCGGCCCAAUGCGGCGUCGACACGUGGCACGCUUCUCUCGUGCUUUGUAGGGAGUUGGGGGAGGAGGAGGAGGAGGAGGAGGAGCCGGUGCGUUUCCCCGGCGAGGCCGGUGGGAAACGACGGCGCGGUCGAGUGGGGAAACGGGGAGGCGAACCGGUUCGAAACCCUGUGGUGCUCUGGAUCGUGUGAAGAAGUCGGUAACGAGGCGGUUCCCGGCGCCGACUCCCGCUUUUCGUGGGACGUUUCCUUCUCCGUUCUCAUCGUGAGUUUCCGUUACCAUUCAAAAGUUAGAGAAUAUUAAUUUACAUCAUUUUCCUUACUAGAAAAAGAAGCCUAAUAAUAAUAGUAAACUGUUGUUUAAUUUUUUUUUCUUUUUCAGUUAUUCUAUUUUUUUCAUUAAUUGGUGUCAAGUUUAACAAAUCCUGUGUGUGAUUUAGAAGAUAAGUACCGUAAUUAUGUUUACUGAUCAACUCUGGUAGCACGGCUUAUCGAGUAAAUCCGUUUGCUUCCCUUUAUGAAGACAAAAUCUCUAGAUUACGUUGUUACAAUUUUAAUUUGUACUGCUUGUUGGUUGAACCUGGUCUACCAAGUCUUAAAGACCACCAAUAGUUUCUCGUCAACUAGUCAUCUGUUCGAAGGGACCGGGAACGAGAAUAAGUCAACGCGUGGAGACCAUGCAAUGAAAGGAACCCUCAUAGUACUUAGACUUAAAAUUUACUACAACCCCUCAUAGUAUUUACCAUUUAGACUUGUAAUUUUUUUCUUUUCGUGUGUGAGAGGAAAAGACAACAAAUUAUUAAUAUUUUUUAAAACUAGACUCAACUAUAAUGUGAAGCAACUAGAUUUUAAAUUUGGAACCUUAAAUACCAACCAUCGAGUCCUUAACAAACUAUAGUAGUUAUGGUCACUAACAAGUUAUGUAUAGUAGAUUGAGAUUAAUUUUUGUAGUUUUAUAUGUUUUUUCGAUUCUUAUUACAAGAGAUAGGUUCUUUUUACUUACUUUUAAAACAUAUGUACGUAUAUUAUAUCUAAAUAUUAAGGUUUUGACACUGUAGAGUCAUUUGGAAACGAUCAGUAUCUAAAUAGAUAAAUUGAUAGCACUAAACAUGAUUUAAGAAUUUAAUGUUAUGGCUUUUCAAUAUUAUUUGCCUCGUAAUCAAGCGUUCAGAAGGUUGGCACAAUAAUCUUGAAUCUGCAGGGAACCCGAAAGGAGGGAAAGCUAAAAGAGAGUAAACUAGAAGAGAUGGGUUCAACAAUGGUGAGCCUAGCAGAGUGGGCUAGGGCUUCUCAACCUAUAGGGAAUGAGCCCCUGCUCCAAACCCAUACUAAACUGGCCAUUGUCUUGGUCGAUAAAGGAUGUGUCACACUUCAUGUAAGUUAUCCUUUUCUCUAAUUCAUUUUUGGAUUUGGAAAUGUGUUGUCCAACAUUUAUUUUGAUGCUUUAAAGUCUUAGAAGAUUCCGUAAGCUUUUUAGAACUUUUUCCUCUAAUAUUGUGAAAUUGUGGUUAGAUGUAAGAAGAAGAGCUGUAAAGUGUUCUGAAUUGUUAAGACAUAAAGUAUUUAAGUAGGCGCUUUUGGACAUCACAUUUCUAAUUUAAAUCUCAGUGCUUGUUUGGCAUGGCUUGUAGGAUAACUUUUCAACUAUAAAAAAUAGAUGCUCAUUUUGUUGUGCAAAUAUGAAAUGUCCUUUCUCUCUCAAAAGCAGAGUUUUAAAGGUUCUGCUACAUCAAGAAGGGAUGGAAUGGAAUGGAUGUUGAUGAAAAAAUAUAUUAUGUUCCUUCAAACAGCUCUAUCAUUUGUUUACUAUUUUCAAUUCGUAUAAUCGGUUUGGUAUUGCAGGUAGCUGCAACCUUCAUGGAGGUAACCUCUCGUGAAGAAACUAAAGAAGCACCAUCCCUCAAAGAAAAAAUGACUAACAUCCGAGCUGCUAAAAGCCCAAGAUACUUUAGUUCAGAAACUUUGAAUUUAGAUCAGCUACUCCGGUUAGCCAAUGCAGAAAACAAGUUGGCUGUUUAUGGCACAAGAAAUCAAAACAUAUCUGAAAGCCUUAGAGAGAUGGAAAGAGAUACAGUAAGUGUUUAACCAAACAUGCACUAUUAGUUUUCACUAUAGUGUUGCUUUAUCAUUGAUUCGAUUAAUUCUUCGCCAUAUUUUUUUUUUUGUAGGUAAAUAGAUUAUCCGACUCAGACCUUGAAGAUGAUCCUAUUGGUUCCUGGAAAACCAAAGAGUUCAUCAGCAGAGACAAAAGAACAGAGCUCAAGACACCAAUCUUCUGCGCUUCCAUAGAUCAAAGAGAUGAAACAGCUGGUGGAGAAAGCGCUUGCACUGCUCUCGUCACAGUGUUUGCAAACUCUCUGCACCGUAAUCAACUUAACACACUGACCAAAUCAAAGUUCGAUGCACUCAUCAAAGAAGGAUCCUCAGAGUGGAGAAAGCUAUGUAAGAAUCCUUAUUACAAGGAGCGAUUUCCGAACAAGCGAAAAUAAGACCGAUAUAUAUAUAUAUAUAUAUAUAUAUAUAUAAUUAGGCUACUAUACUAUCUAUAGUACCGAGCUCCGGUACUAUAGUGUUGGUUUUCGAUCUUAGGGCAUUCAAAUCAACGAUCCACACCGUUAAAUAUGAUCUAGGGUAUAUGAAUUUCUUAAGAAUAAAAUUUUAAUUUUUUUCGAUAUUGUUUACUUAGUAAAUAAAUUAUAUCAAAAUGGACGGUGGAAAUUGAAUAAUCUUUAAAAUUUGAGCAUAGGACUUUUAAAUUCAAGAUCAAGAAUGUUAACCUUAAUCUAUAUAGUUUAAAGUAUUUUCUAUCAAAAUUUGAAGAAAUUUAGAUUCUUCUACACCGUUAAACUCCAAACUCGUCAUAAUAGCCAUUGAAAAUUGAUAAUUUUGAAAUAGUUUGAUCAUGAAAUAAACUAUGUCGAAAAAAUAUAAAAUUUUAUUUCUAGAAACUUUAAAUACCCAAGAUUAGUUUUAACGGUGUGGAUCGUUGAUUUGAACGCCCUAAGAUCGAAAACCAACACUAUAGUACCGGAGCUCGGUACUAUAGAUAGUAUAGUAGCUCAGCUCUCUCUCUCUCUCUCUCUCUCUCUCUCUCUCUCUCUAUAUAUAUAUAUAUAUAUCACCUCAAAUUAUUAUUUAACCCUUUUCUCAAAAAAAUAUUAUUUGAUAUGAAUUUAUUAUUAUUUUUUUUUGAGAGAGAUAGGGAGCAUGCUAUUUGUUUCGUUUAUUUCAUUUAGAAAUAAACUUAACUGAAAAUGUGAAUCAAUUAGGAUUCGAACUUGGAACCUCGGAUACCAACCAUCAAAAUCUUUACCGCUUGCCUUAGAGACGGUCAAUAUUUUUUGUAACCCUGACUAUGUAAUAAAAUUUGCGUCCUCUAACAUUUUAGUUAAUGCAGAUGAAAUGAACCUCAAAUGCACAACUUAAUGUUUUAGCACAUAUAUUUAACUUCUCUUUCCUCACGACAGAGAAAAGGAGGAAAAAAAAAAACCAAAAAAAUUGCUUGGAAAAUUUGAGCGAAUCUUGAAUUCAAGAAGGAGAACCUUUCAGUAAAAAUUAGUUAGCACUCGGCAAUUUAAGCUGUUUCGUUACCGACUUUGCAAAGCCACCGCAUUUGGCCCUUUUGCAAAUAAGGUCCAACAUUUUCUGAUUUUGUAAAAGGAUGGCGUUAUUUUUCGCUCUUCGCCUUUCAAGUUUCAACUUGCUAUGACCAAAAUACCCCUCCGCACCUACAAUUCUUCACUCUCUCGUCGAGCGACUCCGUCGAGGGAGGCGGAGCUCUGCGACGCUACUCGAAACCUUAACCCUAACCCUAAUCUCCGAACUCAAACCCUAACACCCUAAUCUCCCUCUUUGCCUUUCUCUCUCCCUUUCUCUCUUUCUUUGUCUAGCUAUUUUAAUUCAAUUCCUUUCUUUUUUUUUUCUCUCUUUUUAGUUGGUUCUUUUGUGCUCUUCUUUUGUAAAUCCAAAAGCUCUUUUUAACUACUCUACUUUUCAACAAGCACUCAUGUCCUACUCUUUUUUUUUCAAUUUAAAAUUAUAUUGGAAUUUCGUGCAUCAACCACUGUCCUUCCAAUAAGAGCUUCCUCUCUGGAUACUUAAACCAAAAAAAAAAAAAGAAAUCAGAAUCACAAGGUCCAAGUUUUUUUUUUUUUUUUUCUUAUAUCCUAUUUCUCACAAUAUGCAGCAAUUAUAGUUUUUUAGUAUGGAAAACGGUAGGUAGCAUCUUUAUACUAAUUGAAUAAUGUUAUUGGGUAGGUUUACAAGUCCUUUUAAAAAAAAAAAAAAAAAAUCAUAUUAAUAAUUUUUCAGGUAAGCUCAUAAAGGAGAAAAGGAGACCAAAUAAUGGAUGAUCUGAUGGAUGCUUGGUUGGAUUGAAUUGGUAAAAAGCUUCUUGACUUUUUGCACCUUCUAAUUGGAUUGAUUGUAUUUAUGUAGCAAAUAAAUGCAUAGAAAAAGAUAUUGGUUUUCAUUUAUAAAUAUAUUGUCUUAUUAGUUGUUGUAAUGAAAAUGACAUUUUUUUUGUGUAGUACAAUUUAUAUUAUUUAAUGUGGUUUCUUUCUGACUAUACGUGAUUGUUUACAAUGCCUUCUAUUUCACAUUGAUUUUGACAUUAUUAGUUUAUUACAUAUACAACCCAGAAAAAUAUCUACUCCGGCUAAGCCUUCAUCAAAAUAUUCAAGUUUGCAAGACCAUGAAUUUUUCAUAUGUGCAGUUAAAAAAUUCAGUUUUUUUCAUUAAUAAGGAAGGAAAAUCUAAAUUUUCUCACAUACUUUCAGUGAGAAAUUUUCUUUCAGGAAUGUACUUUUGUGAAAGAUUUUUCGAUUCUACUGGUUCUGCUUGAAAUUAUCUAAGUACUUAUAGAAGCUAAUUUUUCUAACAAAUAGUAAUAUUAUAUAAUCUUUUUAGUUGUACAUAUAUGUAAAUAUAACCCAUUUUGCUCAUUUUCUUAUGUCACUCUGUUCGUUAGGAUUUUUAUUUAUUCUGAGGUCACUAUCAGAUGAUGUAUAUAAAUUUUUCUCACCAACAAAAAGAAAAAAAAAAUCACUAUUUAUAACUAUCCGGCUGAUUGAAUAGCCAAAGGGAGACUAUAAUAUUCUUGAGUUUAUUAUCUAUUCUAAUAUCCAUUGACCCUUUUUUAUUUUUUUUGUAUUACUUGGUAAUCAUCAUAUAACCGCUUAUUUAACUCCGAUUAAUUCUGUUUUCAGAACGCCAAUAGUGAGAAGCAAUUGAUCAAAACUUGUCGAAUUUUUAAUAUAGUCACCAAAAAGGAAUCCUAGUGGUUGUAGGAGCCUGCAAGCAUUAAAACUCUCAAAAAUACUUGCCGUCGAGAAGUGAUCUAAAUCCAACAAUUAUAAAAUUCAGGAUCUGAAUGCUAUCCUCUCUUCAAUUUAUUGUAAUUAAUAGUUUUUUCACUUUCAAAAUUAGUUCAAAGUCCGUUAUGCGUUAUGUCAAGUCACAUACCAAUUAUCCAUAGAUAAAACUAUAUAAAAGCUUAUGCAGUAUCUGGUUAAAGAAGAAGAAGAUGAUAACAUUAAGAAAAAACUGAUGUCGGUAGGGCUAAUAUUACCUGCUAAUAAUAUUACCUUCUCAUAUUAGCAUGUCGUAUUAUGGUGUGGCAACACGGUAUUCUUAUAUUGUGCAAAAUAACUUAUUAGCACAUAACAUACUGUCACUAAAUUUAAUGAAUAUUCACAGAAUUGUGUAAUUAUAACGCAGCUUAAAGAUUAAUGAGCUGUUAAUUAUAAUAAAAUGAAAUUCUUAUUUUGUUUUUUGGAAGUCAUGAAUUUAAUUCUGAAAAAGAAAUGCCUAGAUCGAUUUCAACCAUUCUCACCUUCAAUGUUUAUUUAAACCCGGAAAUCUACGUAGCAGGGCAUUUGGCUCUUGCAAGAAAUAACCAUUUUAAGCCAUAUUCCUUCUUUAUACCAUGUAAGAUUAUAACCGUCCUCCUGAAUGGAGAGGUGAUACAGAAAUUAACAAUCUUCCUUUGUUAAAUAUUUACACUAUUGAAUGAUUCAGGCCCAUGACAUAAUAAUGCUUGACAUGUGCAACAUGUAGUUAUAUUAAAAUGCCAAUUUGGCCUCUCUUUAAGGGCAUGAUUUAUGUAUAUAAUAUCUGUUGGCUCAACUAGAAAACAGAGGUGGCUUUUGGCCAAGCCAACUCUCUCUUCUUCUUCUCCUUCUUCUUCUUCUUCUUCUUCUUCUUUUUUUGUUUCUUCAGAGGAACAGAAAGUGUAUGGGGACCUGUCAAUCUACUGAGUCUGUUGAGACGAAAGGAAAUCAUGAUCAGAAUGUAGUAUAUGUGGCGGAUGCAAACAGGCCAGGCUCGGAUGAGGAUGGAAGGCGGAGGAUCGCUUCUCUCUACUCGCAACGAGGAAAGAAAGGUCCGAACCAGGAUGCAGUCAUUCUCUGCCAGGUAUGUUAGCCUCCUGUAUUCCUCCAAAUCAUGUAGCAUUGGUUCAUAUCUGUAGCAUGUAUUGUGGCUUUGAUAAUAUAAAACUUUCUUUUGGACCAACUUUUGAUUGAAGAGUUUUCCCUAUCAAGCUCUUUUGAUUACUAGCAAGAUUUCUUUCUUGAUCAUGUACGGGCACCGAAGUUGUAAAAAAAGGAGCUUUCUGUUUCUUUCAAUUCAUGUUUAGGUAUUUCUAUAUCUCCAGGUCUUUUUUUUUAAGGAACGAGGAUGAAUCCAUAUUAUAUUAAAGAGUCUAGAAAGUUUUAUAUAUUAAUAUUAUUCCCAGUUUUCUAAAAAUUUAUCAUAAUAUGGAUUUCUUAAAUGAGUGAUUGAAUAUACUGAAUCAUAGUCUGACGGUCUAACAUUUUGAAUGCAUACGGUGGCUAUUCAUCUUAUGAACUCUUAGAUCUGAUGUAGUUUGAACUAAAGGGAUUUGGAGUUGAGUCUAAUACCAUAUUGUCUUAAGGAUUAUCUGAUAGGAAAUGACUUAGCAAAAAGAAAAAUUUAAGACCUUCAAAUAUUUACUUUGUCGUCAUGACCCAAAGUUCCUAUGGUAACAAAACGGGAAACUGCCUCUUAUGUUUCUAGAGUGAACAAUUAAAUUUUCUAAGAUUCUAUCAAAAGGUUGUGUGAGCGGACUUAAAUAAUAAGAAGUUUUACGAAGGAAUUGUAAUGCUUAUUGGAAAAGUUGGCAGUUUUUUGAAAAUCAAGUAAAACUCAGACUUGAAUAAAAAUUUCCCCUCUUAAAAGAAAAACAAAGUUUCUAUUUAUGAACAAUCAAUAUCAUCAUGUCUGCAAUUUUUUUUUUCUGCUGAAUUUUCUUUUUCUCUUUUGUCAUAAACCUUAAGAUUGUUUCCAGCUCCCUAUGAAUAGAUGCGUGCUACCAUUAAAUGAUGACUAAAGUCCCUACUCUUUGAUUAAGGGUUUUGGUAUGGAAGAUGGAGUGUUCUGUGGUGUAUUUGACGGACAUGGAAAAAACGGCCACAUGAUAAGCAAAAUAGUAAGGGAUUUCCUCCCUUGCCUGCUUCUUAGCCAACGAAACACCCUAAUGCUCUCCGACGAAGAUUCUGACUUCACUGAUAGCACUACCACCAGCCCGAAAGAUGAUAGUGAGGGCUCCCCAAUCUUGUCUCCCUUUCUAUUCGAGGAGUGGAAAGAGGCAUGCAUAAGCGCUUUCAAAGUCAUGGAUAAGGAGCUGAAGCUCCAAUCCAACUUAGAUUGCACUUUUAGUGGCACCACUGCGGUAUCUAUAAUCAAACAGGUAAAAUCAAAUGAUUUCCAUUGAUGUGCUUUAUCAAGUAGAAAUAGUUCAUUGACAAAGUUUCCGUGUUCACAAAUUGAAAAUAGGGAAAUUAUUUGAUCAUUGCUAACCUAGGGGAUUCAAGGGCAGUGAUGGGCACCAUCUCCGAAGAGGGUCACCUAGAAGCUAUACAGCUUACGACUGAUCUAAAGCCUAGCAUUCCUAGUAAGACUUCUCUUUCCGUUUGUAACAUUCUGAAAUUAUUACCCGAAGUCCCAAGUUCGAAUCCUAGUUGAUUCACAUUUCCAGCUAAGUUUAUUUCUAAAUGAAAUAAACGAAAUGGGUAGCGUGCUACCUAUCUCUCAAAAAAAAAAAAAAAAAAAACAUUCUAAAAUUGUUGCACGGAAAAUACGUCUGAGCCUUGAACAUUUCGCCUGAUCACAUAUCACCGCUCGAAUUCUACAUUUUAAAAUAAGACAUAAUGGUUAUCUUUUUUCAAUCGACAACCAGUCAUGUUUUUGUCAAUUUUUUUAUAAAAAUCAUGGGUUGCAUAAAAGUUAGAUCACUAAAAUUCCUGAGGCUCAAACUCAAACUUUUGAAUACCACGUGACAGUCAUUUGCUGAUGACCAUUUAUAGAAAUUUGGCAAUAAUAGGGCAUAUUGGUUUAUUAACUUAUCAAAGUCCGAGCAAUGAUAUCUUGUAAGGCUAGAUAUGAAGGGAGGGAUAUCUUUCUCAUUGUUGUGACAUUUAUGGAGGAUCUAUUUAGUUAUUUCUGGAAACUUGACAUGCAGAGGAAGCAGAGAGAAUAAGAAAAAGCAAAGGUCGAGUUUUCGCUCUACGUGAUGAGCCACACAUUCAACGGGUGUGGCUGCCACAUGAGAACUUCCCCGGCCUCGCCAUGGCCCGUUCUUUUGGAGAUUUCCAGCUGAAACACUACGGUGUGAUCUCAAUCCCUGAGGUCUCGCAUCAUCAGAUAUCAAGUAAAGACCAGUUCAUUGUUCUAGCAACUGACGGGGUACGUAUGAUAAAACAUGUUCCUCGAUAUCUUUAAAAUAUUUUUUCAUACUUCAUUUAAUCUAAUAUAUCAUGGGAAAGUUUGUAGGUCAUGUUCCUCGAUAUCUUUAAAAUAUUUUUUCAUACUUCAUUUAAUCUGAUAUAUCAUAGGAAAGUUUGUAGGUUUGGGAUGUUCUAAACAAUGAGGAAGUUGUAUCAAUAGUGUGGUCGAUUGAACGCAAAGAGGAUGCAGCAAAAGCACUUGUAGAGGCCGCAGUUCAUGCAUGGAAAAACAAGUUCCCGGCGUCAAGAAUAGAUGAUUGCUCUGCAGCUUGCCUCUUUUUACAAGAGGGGAGGCAGGGGAAAAAGUGAAUACAAUUGACUUCUAAGGGACUCUUUGUGGGAAAUUGUUUUCUAUAGGGAACUCAGUGAGAUUAUAUGUUAUCUAUUGUGUUUUGUACAAAUAGUUGAUAUUGUACUAAUUAAAGGCAAAUAUUCGGACCAAAGAGGAGAUCAUGAGAAGAGGGUGUUGUGUUAUGCUUAUAUGUGCACUAUACAAUUCAUUGUAUGACCACAUGAUGGAUUGAAAUUUUUUUGCUAAAUAUUGUGCAGUUGUUGAGCAGGAAGCGGUCUUAUAGCCUAUAAGGCCAAACAAUUAAUUUAUUUUAACAUGGCCUAAAUAAUGAUGGACUUUUGCAUAAUUCAUAAUUAAAUUGCAUCUUCCCAAUCCAUAAUAAAAGUUCACAUUAUUACUUUUUUUUUCACUGCUUAGUAGUAGAAAUAGUCAAAUAUAUUCAGUUGGGCUCAUUAUAUAGGGAACCUAUAGCCUAUUUUUUUUUGUAAAAACACACAACCAAAAAAUAAAAAUAAAAGCAAAACAUAAGAUUGCAAUCUUAACAUACUAACGUGGAGAUAUAUAUUCAUUAAUUUGAUAUAGACUUAAAUACAUGAGUCCAAACAUACAUGAGAUAUCAUCAAAUAAAAAAAAAUUGGCAACCACUGGAAUAGCGUAGAAGGUAUCCAAGUGUGGCUACCAAUAAAGUUCCUUACAGUGAACUUAGCGGCAUCGUCAAAUGAAUUUAUAAUUUUAUAUCUGGGCCAAGGCACUUGCUUGGUGGUGUUUGCACCUGGUUCUCGAUUUUGAAACUCUGAAUAGAAAAGUUUAUCUAGUGGCGAUGUGCUAUUCCACUCAAGCCACCCCGGACGGAUGGAUAAGAUUGUCGAUGAAGGAUUGCAUUAUAAUUGUCCUCGAGUAGGCUUCCAGGGAUGCCCAAAAAGUAAUAUAGUUCUUUACUGUCUUGAGAUCCGGUGUCACCAGCGUGGAACAAUUUUGAAGAAUGAAUCCUGUGUCUACAAAGGCUGUCUCGCUGCCUUGCGUUGUUGUGACAUUUUGUUGUCCUAGUAGCGAUUUUCUAGCCAGAAAUAUGCAACACUUAAAGAUAGCUUGCGUAUUUCCAAAUACAAAACUCACCUUCCUAUAAACUUUGCAUUCACGAUAGAGCUGAUGUCCUGAUUUUACAUAUAACGUGUCUGGCUGUCAAUAUAUAAUUAAUUGAAAUCAUGCAAAAUGAAUAUAAUUAAUUGAAAAUAAUUUGCUGGCUGUCUAUAUAUGCAUUUGUGUAUUAAUAUUGCUACAACUGAUUAUAGUGUUAUAUGGUAUGGUUGACCAUAGAAAUUAGAAAUCGGUAAAACUCCCCCUCAAAGUGGAGCAUGAGAAUUCGAAACACCCAACUUGGAUAGUCAAAAUCUAAACUUAUCUUUACCCAAUGCUUUGGUAAAAUUAUUAGUCAGUUGAUGAGUUUUUUGAACAAAAGCUGUGCAUAUUAUGUCGGAUUAGAUUUUUUCACAAAUGAGAUGGCAGUCGAUUUCAAUAUAUUUAGUAUGUUCAUGAAAAAUCUGAUUGGCUUGACCGUCGCAAUAAAGAACCAUAUUUGUUUUAUGAGAUAUACUAGGAUCUUGAAGAAUUACUUUAAGCCAUAAAAACUCACACCUACUAGUAGCCAUUGCAUAGUAUUCAGCUAGUGCUGAUGAUCGGGAAAAAGCCAAGAUAGGGGACUGUUUCUAAGCAUUGUGAAGUAACAAGUACAUUUUCGUGUCAUUGGACAAGAAUAGAGCCGAACUGGGCAAUAGGUCAGCCCGGCCUAGUCCGGAUAAAAUUGGGGCAGGGCCGUGUCGGGCCCAGCAAGACUCUCUGGCCCUGAUGUCAUGGGCAAUAUUUUAAAAAUAUUUUAAAUAUUUUAAAAAUAAAAAUUAAAUGGUUCUCUUUCGGCUAAUAUAUUAGAUAAAAAAGUUAUUAAAAUAUUUAUAAAUUAAUAAUUUUUUAAAAUAAUUUUAAAAUUUUAUAAAGCUUUGGAAUUUUUUAAAAAAUCUUUUUUUUAAGGGUUUUGUAAGCUCUUCAGGAUAUAGGGCAAUCUCCCCAGAAAGGCUAGGGCAUUCUGAUCACAUCCCUAAGCCCUUCUUUUUAUUAUUUAUGUGGACAAUCACAUUCUCUUGAUAUAUUCCCAAUUUUAUAUAGAUAACAUAUUUUUCACUAUUGAAAAAAAAAAAAAUUAUAUAGAUAACAUAUUUUUCACUAUUGAAAAAAAAAUUUGUAUAGAUAACAUAUUUUUCACUAUUGAAAAAAAAAAUUAUAUGGAUAACAUUUUUCACUAUUGAAAAAAAAAAUGUCGCCUGCACAAUAGAACUUAUGGUUUUGAAAUUUUCAUUACUGUCAUUGACCACAGUUGAAUGUGGGGUGAAAAUUAUUGCACCAGAAGCAUGUUGAAAUGAGAGAGAAUCAAGUAACAACGAUAGAACAAGUAUGAUGACCACAAUAAUGAAAAAACUAAGUUAGAAGACUCUUUCUUUGAUUUACAACAAGCUGCUUUGAAACCAAAUUAUUAAGGAGAAAGCUAAAUAAAAAUAACAUUGGCAUGAUCAUGCCAAUUUCAAACUACAAUGUUGUUCACUAAAAUUGAUCAUAGUUUGUAUAAUGUUCCUGUCACUUUUAUAUCUCUUAAUUUUAUGUAAAAAAUAUUAUUGUCAUUUCUAUUUAAUCUAAAAAAUAUAUAUAAAUAUGGUUUCAAUUAAAUUUCUAAUUUUUGAAAUUAGAAAAUAUUCUGUUCUACUCCUUGAAAUUCAAACUUUAGAGACAUGAAUUUUUAGACUAUUAUGAAAGCACUUAUACUUCUUGGAGAUAAACUUAUUGCAAUGCAUACUUCACACUUUCAUAAAUGAACUUCAUUUAAUAGAAUUUACUUCAUUAAGCAAUGAGAGUCUAUACAAAAAGAAUGAAUACUUAUGGCUUAGAAAGGGGUUACCAAUUAUUGAAACUCAAAAAAGGAAAAAAAAUAAUUCUUUUUAAUUGAAAAGAAAGGUUUAAAUAUGAUAUGCUUUGCCAACUAAAGAAAAAAUGUCUAAUAUUAGAGUCUAUGAUUAUGUUCUUUAUAAAUUUGAAAGAUAUUUAUUCAGUUUCAGUCACUUACGAUUCAAAGUUUCAAAGUUUUAAUUAGUCUUGUAGACAUGUAGAAUAUGAUUGAAAUAACUAAAUUAUCCACUUUAUGAUUGAAAAAAUUAAAUAAUCCACUUUCUUCUAUACAGUCAUAAAAUUAAGCUUUUUAAACUUUACUUUCUCAUUGGAAUAUACUAAACUUCAAUCAAUCAAACAGCACCUUGCAGACAAUUAAAUUUUUUUUUAUAGAACAAAAAUUUGAUGGGAACAGUUCCCCACAUGACACCACUCCAUCCACAAUCCAUUAUAUGCAUGAACAUGAAUCUUAAAAUUGUGUAAAACACAAAUGAGACGAUUUUCACAUUUGACUAUUCCCAUCAACAUUCUUUUACCGCCAUCAACGUAGCAUUAUUUGGAUCCUCUACUAAACUUGAUUUGUAGAAGAUGAAUAUCACUAAUUAAAAAUAAUUUUCUGGCUGUUCAUAUAUCCAUUUGUGCAUUUGAGAAAUAAAUUGAUGAUAUUACUAUAACUGGUUAUAAUGGGUAGAUUGGUUUAUUAACUUACCAAAAUCUAACAAUGAUUUUUGUAAAGCUAGAUAUAAUGGGCAUUAGGUAUAUUUUUUUUUCAUUGUCAAUAUGUUUGUGAAAAAAAUUGUUAAAUGUUUCAUUAUUACGAUGUUUGUGGAAGAAAUUUUUAGUUAUUUCUAGAAACUUGGCAUGUAGAGGAAGUGGAGAGAAUUAGAAAAAGCAAAGGCUGAGUUUUCACUCUACAUGAUAAAGCACACAUUUAAUAGGCUUGGCUGCCACAUAAGAACUUCUCGGGCCUCGACAUGGCUCUUUUAUUAUUGGAUAACAAGUAAAAACCAGUUCACUAUUUUAGAAAAUAUUUGUGUUUUCCAUAAAUUUCAGAUUUGUUAUAAACUAUUGUUUAUUUACAUUACAAAUAUAUUUAUUUAUAUUUUAAUGAAUUAUAUUACAAUUAUUUAUUACAAAUAUAUAUUAUAUUUGUAAUAUAUAUUACAAAUAUAUAAUAUAUAUAUCAUAAAUGAAUGAUUGUAUUAUAAUUGUUCUUGAGUAGGGCUUCCAGUAUUGCGCAAGAAAUGAUUGGAUGGAAUAUUUGACCGGUUCAAUAUUCAAUGUUGCUAAUAUUAUAUAAUUUUGGAGAACAAUCUCGUGGGUAUAUCAGCUUUUUCUCUUUUUUUUUCAUAUUUAAUCUAUCUUACUAAUAGUUUUUUGGUUAGAAAAUUGUAAGUCUGAAAAAUAGUUUGUGCGUUUCCAAAUACGAAAUCGACAGUUCCAUAAACAUCAGAUACACAAUAUAACUAUUUAUUUACAUAACAAAUAUAUAUAUUUAUUUAUAGUUAUAAUACAUAUUAGGUUACUCCUACACUUCAUUUUUUUAAAUAUUGUUCAUUUUUUAUUAUUUUAUUGGUCUAAAUUGAAUCUUUUUUUGGCUGUGACCUAUAAUAACAUAUUAUUUGAAAAAUAGUAUAUUAAAAGAGAAUUUUUUUUUCUUUCUGGGUAAUUAUAUCAUUUUAUUAUUUUCUCUCCUCUUUGUUAGCUAAAUUGGUUUCAUCUAGAUUUAUAAACUUUACUAUUAAAUCUCUAUGUUCCCAAUUUUGUUUAGUCUAUAAAUUCUACGAUCAAGAUUUAUUAUAAACUUAAAAUUUAAAUUGUACAAUCUAGAUUUAUACCAAUUUUAAAUUCAAGAGUGCCAGUGUGAUCAGUAGGUACACCGCCAUCCACGCUUCUAUUCGAUGAAAUCAUUGUUUUGUCAGCUCCAUCUCCAAGAAGCACAAUGUUCUUCUUAGUUACGUCGACAAUCACAUUUUCUUGAUAAACUCCUGCUUUUAUAUAGAUGACGUAUUUUUCGCUGCUGAAAGAAGGUGCUGCCUGCACAGCAGCACUUAUGGUGGUGAAAUUUCCGUUACCAUCGUUGGCCACCGUUGAAUUUGGGGCGAAAAUUGUUGUACCAGAAGCGUGUUGAGAUGAGAGGGAAGCAAGUAAACAAGCAUGGUGGCCAUGAUAAUUAAAAGAAACUAAGUUAGAAGACUUUCUUUGAUUCAUAUGCUCUGAAACUAAACUAUUAAAGAGAUCAAGCUGAACCAAAAACAACAUUCUCAUAAUCAUGCCAAUUUCAAAUUACAAUCUUUUUCACUAAAAUUGCUCAUGGUUUAUAUGAUGUUCCUUUCAUUCUGAUAUCUUUUAAUUUCAUGUCAGAAUAAUUAUUGCCAUUUCUAUUCACUCUAAAAGAAGCUUAUCUGAAAUUAGAAGAUAUAGUGUUCUAAUUUGUGUAAUUCUCAAUCAUGGAGAUCCUUCAUCUAUUGGAGAAAGUCUUCUCAAUCAUGUUGCUCCAUAUUAGAAUUGAAUCAACAAAUUAAAAGUGUCAAUAUUGGAUAAAAAUAUAAAAAUUAGUUUUUAAAAAUAUUAUUUUAAUAAAAAAUUAUUAUAGUGUUCUUGAUUACAUCUUCUAUUGUUGCACAUAACACAAUGUAGUUUGUUUGGAGUUUACUUUGCAUAGUAUAAGUGGUACAAAGAUGACUUUUCCAACUAAUAGGUUAUUUUAAAACUAGCCUUUAUCUGUUUUUUUUUCCAUGCCCAUUAUAGUGGUUAAAUUUAAUAGCUCUAAUAGUUAUUGGCUUGUAAGUACUACAUUUUUAUUUGCUAAAAUGUAUUUUUAAACUAUUAAAAUCUAAUGGAGUUAUUGAUAAAUUUAAAAGAUUUCAAUAAAUAGGACCAAAAUUGUGUAAUUUUGAAGAAAAUAAUAGUAAACAAAUUGUCAAUAUAAGAAAAAAAAUUAGGUUGAGAGGGCCAAGGCAAGAUGGCUAUAGUUGAUUGGCCUUAGUAUCAAGUUAUCAACUGUCACCUCACUUUUCAGAAUGAUCAUUCAUUCUAGAACUACUUUAAGCUCUAACACGCUAAGCCCUCUUAAUCUUUUAUGCCCAGCCAGGUAUAGCCAAAUUAAAAAAUUUAGUAAUAUUACACUUUAUAUAUAGAAUAAGAAAAUUAAGCGUAUCAAAACUAGAGUAAUUUUAGAAUAGAUUAUCUUCCAGAAAAAUAGGGCAUCACGGUAAAUAUAAAAUGUAAGGACACUAAAUGAUUGUUGGGUUGCAUAUAAUUAAAAUUGUACUAGUCGUAAUUUUAUACAGAUCUAAAUUGAGUGUUUUGUUAAAUAUAUUUAAAUCCGAUGUGAGAAAGCCCAACUAUAACAAUUGGAGAGAAAAACUUCCAAUAAAACAUAAGUUUAACUUGCUCAUCACUUUUCAAACAAUUUUUUUUUCCUAUAUAGGAAGUAGUCUCACUACCACAUACAAAAAGUGAUAAAAUUUUAAAAAUACACUUAUCAACUAUAUGCUGCCAAAUAAUUUUUUUAUUAUUACAAUACUAUAUACUAUAUUCAAUCAAACAAGAUACAUGAAAUUAAUUUUUCUGGAAUAUUAAAUCAUAAAUUAUAAAUUCUACCAAAAAAAUUGUAAUUUUUGAUUAAUCAUAAAUAUGCACAAACUUUAAAUUCCCAAUAUUUGAAACUUAUUUAUAAGUUAGUCCAACUUAUUUGUUUUUUUUUUUUUUUCUGUGUGCGUGUCCUAAAAGUGCUAAAGAAAUUUUAGUGAUUAUUUUUCCUGUUCUGCCUUCAGCCAUAUACUGAAAAGGAAAUAUAACUACGGUAAGAAGAAAUCCGCGCGUCCACAUUAAAUUGCACAACAAAUUUAGAAAAACUGGAAUAUUUUGAUUCCUCGGAUUCCAAAAGUGCUCAACAAAUGAGUGAUAGAAAGGACCAGUAUCUAUCUCGGUUUAUUAGCAACUUAAUUCCUUUCAAUAAACUCCUUUCGGAAGACCCAAAAAAAACAAAAACGAGAACAAGUGUUUUAGUACUUGGCUCAAGCAGCCUUUCGAACUCGAAAGAAAUAUUGCACAGAUACUUUGCGAUUUGGUUCUUUUGGAUGAGCGGUGAUUUGACAGGUUGAAACCGUGGCUCAUUGAAGGUGUCCUCGCACGUGGUCACGUCGUCGAAUGCAGACUGCAGUGCAGAAAUACCAUCGAAAUAAUUCUUCUCGGCCAAAUACUGGAUUGCGGAUUGCAGAUGGGACACUGCCAGAUAGUACUCAGUCUCGCAGCUGAGCAGGCAGGCCAUCAUCGCGGCAUCGUACAUCUUCUUGACGGCAGCAUAAGUGCCGAAGGCGUUCGCGAGGGCAUGGUCAAUGGAGAUGUUGGUGAGGAGGAAGAGGACGGCGUCGGCGGUGCGCGGAUCGGAGGACAUAGACGAGACGUAGAAAGUGUAGUUCGGGGAAUCUCUGCAUCCCUUCUUGAUCAACUCUAUGCCUUUCAAUUCAGCUUCACCUGCAGUUGUUGCCUUUGGCGAUGGCGCGGAUGAUGCCGUCAGUGACAGAGAGAGACACGCAAGAAGCAGCAACGACACGACUGCAAACGCUGCCUUUGUUUUCUCCUCUCGGAUCAACUGGAAGUUUUAGAGAGAGCCCACCAGAGGUGGAGAAUCUAUCUAUAUAAUAUUAACAUAGUUUAAUUUAGGAAGGAAGGAAACUAAUAAGGAAAGAAAUAUUACAUUUUAAGGAAACUAAUUAAGAAAGAUAUAUAUAUUACAUUUAAGGCUCACAUUUACGAUGCGUUAGCGUUAGUAGGAAAGAUUCCCGGACAACCUACUUGACCAUAUAAGGCCGCAACUUUUCAGCUGUAAAUUUUGAUGAUUUGGAUUGAAAGUAAUAAGGGAUUGAAAUUACGCAAGGGGUUCAACCCCUCUCAACAGCCUUAUACUAGAAAGCAUCUUUAGGAAAUUUUUAAUUCAUACAGUGCAGCUAUGAUGUAACUUUGUAAAAGUAACCAAGUAACCAGAAACAUCUUUCUGCUAGUAAGUUCGUUCCUUGCACAGAAACAUGCCACAACCUAAGAGUGGCCCGCGCCAUCCCAACAUUUCACUUCACAAGAACUUCUGUGCUCGCUAAACUUCGCAUUUACAGCAGCAUAUGAAGAAAGAAAGGAAUUGAAAGAAAGGUAAAUAGGGGGUAAUUCACAGAUUCGGUUAACAAAAUAGGUCUCACAUUCAUCAUUACUCGGUUGAUAAAAGUAAAACCAACUAACAUUACAUUAACUCUGAACUAAAAUAAACUGCAAGUACACAAAUAAUGAGCACAAACAACAGGGAGCUUCCGUUCCUACUUUAUUGUAACAUUUAUAUAAAUGAAAAACAGCCAUGGAUAAACAACUAAUUAGAGUAACUACAACUAGAUCAUAAUCCAAAGAUCGAUGAGCCACUGGCAUUAAAAUGAAUAAGAUAUAUGGUUAGCACAUGAUAGGUGAAAAAAGAACAACAAAAACAAAUAACAAUAAUUCGCACAAGCCUCGGCACGCAGAGAUAUACGCACCCAUUGCCCUUACAUGGCCGGAUUAGAUGAAGAAAAAGCCCUUCUGUAAUCUUUCUACUAAGUCCUCGAACUUCUGUUGAAUUUGCGGUAGGAGAGCUGCAAAUCACACUUUGGGACCUAGAAUUUGGCAUGAUUAGAAAAUGGUUGUCUUGCACUUCUACAAAAGAAUAGGAGAGAACUGGUCAACGCAUAAAGGAAAGAGAGUCGAUUUCCUUAUAGACUCCGAAGGCCUCUUCUGGCCCCAAAGGGGAAAGCAUUGUCGUGUGGAUCGAUAUCGAUAACACAAACCUCCUGCACCCAUCUUGCUGGUUGCAUGUGAAAAGCCAAAAUAUUCCACAAGAAGCACACCCGAAAGGAGAAAAAUUGCCAAGGCUUUUACUUCUAGUCCUUUCUCUAUGCAUAAUACAUAUACAAGCUGUUAGCAGCAGCACAAGCUAUUGAAUUUUCAGAGGGGUGCCAAGCUAAAUGCAGUAACUUGGUCGUGAAAUCAUAGGAAUUUCCAUUGGCAUCGACUCCUGGAGUUUCUGAGCCUGUGGAGAUUCAUGGAAAUUAUGAGGUUGGGUAAAAUAGAAAAAUAAGUUAUUUUUUUAACAGCACUUGCACUUCACAAGUGGCUUAUAGAAUUAAAUCUAAGGAAAUUAAAUGUUUGGGUUCAUUACAAAUUGAGUCCCUAUUUGAUUUCAAAUUCAUCAUCAUUGUUUUAAAUUCUUCUGUUAGUCUACCGUCUGAAUAACGCACCAUGUCAGAAGAGUCUUUAAAUUUUACUGCAUGAUUUCACUCCCUUUGUUAGUCUACCAUCUUAAGUUUGGCAUUGAUUAUAAUCCUCUUGUUAGUCUACCAUCUGAAAUUUGGAGGAAAUUGACAUCAAUGUCAAACUUCAGGUAGCAAAUUGGUAAAUUUGAGAUCAAACUUCAGGGACUGAAUUGUUAUAACUAAAACUCCAACAAUGAGAUUGAAAUCCAGAUCAAACUUGAAGGACUAAAAUUAUAAAGAAUCCAAAAUUUUCAUAUGAAAACUGACUUCGUCGGACAGCACGAGUCAAACUGCUUAAAGCUCUCGCGGGCCUAGUUGGAUUUGGAACCUGACGCCUGCAUGGUUAGAUACCAAGUAAAAGAAAGAUUAGACAAGUUUUAAUAUAACACUUCUUCGCAGCUCCAAUACUAACAAGACGACCAAAAGUUCAUAAUUUUGAAUUAUUAUUGAUUUGAAAACUAAAAAAGGAUUAAAACUUUUUAUCAGUGUAGCAUACCUCAUUGGGUUUUUACUUGCUUCCAAAGUUGUUGCCUCAGUGUUUGCAGGAGUACAACCAAAUAUACGAAAUAGAUUACUGGAUAUGAACAAAAAUUAUAGCGGUUAGAUAUGCAACAUAAAGCUUUUCAGCAGACAACAAGAGGUCAAAAGAAUACCUAUAAGAACCAGUAGCAACCCGAAGACCAUCUCCACUCAGACAGCACUCAAAUUUGUCAAAGAUUGAAUCAUUCUCGUAUAAAUCACAUAGCUGCAGAUUAUACAAAAUAUCAAACCUCUGACCAGAAUAUAUCCAUGACAUUCUCAAUGCUAACUUUAUAGAUUAGAUCAAAGUCACCAAAACGAGAGACCUUCACCUUAGGCCUUAAAUAUUCAUGGACCUGGAAAGUUGCAACAGGACCCGAAUCCAUAUUUAAAUCCCAUAGCUGCCAAGACACAACAAGGAAAGGAAAAAAAAAAUCAGAUACAGCAAACACUAUAUAAAGGAAACUCGAGCAAGAAUCAUCAGUGAGUGAUCUAGACAUUCAUAAAUUAGAAACCAAAAAAAUUGGAAUUCUAAUAAAUUUCAACGUCUUUAUGCUGACCGUUUAUUUAUUUAUUAAGACCUCAAUGCAUUAAUUUCUUUGCUUGACAUUCGUUUUUUCAAUUAUCUUGGCUUUCUAUGGAAUUUCAAACAAGAACACAUAAACAAGAAUGAAAACUGCAUGAGGCCAAAGUAUCAGCUGCAAAUUUUUUUUUGCUAACCAUAGAGCUAAGGUAACCAAAAUUUCAAAAUUUAAAACGAGUAGAAGUGUAACAAUAUGGACAAAAUGAAAGGAAUGAACCUUAAGUGUCAUAUAAUCACGACUAAGAAUGUGCCUUCCAUCCUUUGCAAACUUUAUAUCUGAAAUGGAGGCAAUUAUCUCUGUGAAGAAAGAUCUUGAUCCGGGUGCCUCAUGCUCCUCAAACCUGUGAAGGAAAUAACUAGCUAUUACAAUAAAAAAAAGAAGGUAAAUUUGAACAGGUUUGUAGAGAAUUCUAAAAAAGAAAAAUAUGGUGUACUAGUAAAAUUACUGAGAAUAGAUGUAUAUGGGAAACUACUAACAGCUUAGAAUGGUUAUCACAUAAUGCCGACUGCCGCAGAUCAAUAAGCCGGAUAGAGCCCUUUGAGCUACUAUAUGCCAACAUAUUACAGUGGUGUGGGUGAAAUUCAGCACAUGUUAUCACCUCUGAAAUAGAGACAAGAAUUACUGCUAAAUAAUGUAUGACCACAAAUAAAAAGCACCAUUUGAACCAAAGGAAUUUUAAGAGUAGCAUUUCGGUUAGCUAAAUUUUAAAAUAAAAAAAAAAACUACAUUUGAACUUAAUAUUUGGUGUUCAUGACACUUUCAGCCUAGAAUGCUAUCAUCAAACGACUUACAACCACCAUAAAAGAAAAUACCUGUUAGGUCCUCCAUAUUUGCAGGCUUCACGUCAACAAUAUUAAAGCUCUGGUUGCUAAUUUCCAAGUUCCAUAAAUUUAUUCGAAGAUCGUCUGCUGAUAUGAAUGUCUCACCGUCACUAUAAAGGACAAAACAAGAAUGAGAGAAUACCAUUGAAUAAAUGUGUAACAAUAAAUUUUUGCAACAAUAUUCCAAUAAAGAUUGCAAAGAACUUCAUGGCACCAGAAUCACCAAAAACGCAGAUAGCAUAAAGCUUAUUUUUGCAGCUAAUAGUCUCCGCAAGAAGUUGCCAUCUUAUAUUGCCACAGAAUAAAAGGCACAAUUUUUUGAAUAGCACCAAUGCAAAACAUAGGAUGAAAAACUGAAUUGGCUGCACCAGCAUGAGAAGUUAGUUUCUGCAAGCGAUAGAGUGAUAGACUCAAAAAGUUUCUUAAUUACUGGAUAUUAGAGGGUCAAUAAAGCUCAGAAAUUGAAGUUUUGUUCAAAACUGGAUGCCCUAAGAGAAUUGGUGAACUAGUAUUCCAGCCAACACCUUGAAAAGUGCUAUCUCUUAGUUAUCCUGAAAUACCUCCACUUACUGCAUAACCCCAACAUGUCGUUAAUAAUAGAAAAAGGGAAUCCAGACAAUCCAACCAGAAAAUUCUAAAAUACUACUGGAGAAAACCUUGAAGCAAGUAGAUAACAGAGGAACAAUUAAAACUUUGAAGCAAGUGGGUAAAAGAGGAACUAUCAAAAUUAUCACUCGAGAAAAUCAAGGCUAAACCAAGUAGAGUGAUGACGUUUAAUAGUAAAAAAAUAUGGACCAACCUGUUAUUUGAUACAGAAUUAAUAUGGUAAUCAUGAGCAUGAGCAUAUACUCGGCGGCAUCUAGCAACAAGAUUUGUCUCCUGGCCCGUCACCUAGAUGUACAAGCAGCACAUAUUAGAAAGUUGUCAAACAACAAUAUCAUAUGGCAAUAUGCUGUAAAAUGAGUUGCUUAUUCCUAAUUAAGCGUCGCUGACAGACAAAAGUUUAGCCUGGAUUUGGUGCAGCAUUGAGCACUUGUGUGAAAGAUUCAAAAUUACAAAUGUAAACAGUUGGACGUGAUUUUAAACAUUUAAAAACAUUUAAAUUCACAAGUUCCCCACACUUAUUUCUUAUGUCAAACGAUCGUCCUUUCUAUGCUGCUGAGUUUUCGGAUUACUUUGUGCAUAGGUGAUAGUACCCUGAAACUUAUCAUUAUUAAUUGUAGGUUUUUAGAUGCUGUUAAUCACAUUGAAUGGUGUACAUUUGAUUUAGAUCCUCUAUCAUUAAAUAUAAAUAUAGUGGGCAUUCUCGAGGACGUGAGGGGCUAGGUCCAGGCAAUUAUUUAUAAACUAACAGAUUGGGGUAGGUACAACUACCACAGGCAAACGCAGCGAUGGACCUCCAGUUUCAGAAGUGUCCAUAUUCAACGUAGCGAUCCGUUUCACCUUCUUCUCUUGUACCUGUACAAGUUUAAGAUACACGAUGAGCAUAACUAAGCUUUCAAAAAUUUAAGGCAUGAGAAGAAUUAAAUUAGAGAUAGAAAACAUUCAAUGAACGAACUGUAGAAAUAAAAAGAGAAAAAAUAACCAGUACUUUUAGGUUGAAACAGAGCCAAUGGAUAUUGUGGAACAUUAAGGGCAAAACAUGUUAACCAUUGGGAAACUAUAAACCUUGCACAGAAAUAAUGCCUGGAAAUUUGAUAAAUGACAUGAAAGAUGAGAACUAUCAUUCCUGAUAAGCUGCAUCAAUUGCACUUCAAAUCCAUAAGAACCAAUAUAGAGCAUUAACUCUUAACUAAAGAUACUCUACAAGGGACUAGGCCAACAAGGAGGCUUAUACUUUCUGCAAUUACUAAGGUCAAUGGAACCGAGUGAAGUUCUAAAGGAGCUUAGAAACAGGAAAUAACAAAUCUGACACAGGGUUUUGCACUCAUCUCUUAGGUAAAAUAAAUCAAAAGACCAGCCAAGAUGAUGUUCUGUACAUAAGAGGUGUCUAAAGAGAUGACACCAACAUCUAAGAAAGCUCGUAGCUAUCCAGGUAUAAAUCAUUGGUAACUUCAACUAUUCUCCUGCAUAACAAUACAUGUACUAGAGAUAGUUCUGGAGAUAUGUUAGAAGCAUAGUUGGAAGACAAAUAAUGCAGUUUUAAGUUCUACAUGGUAAGGCAAUCUGGAAAAAGUCCAGCAUCAGUUGCACAUCUGAUAUAGGGUAAAAUUUAUACAUAAAAUAAAGCAAAAUGGUUCUUUGGAAUGUCUAUCUAGACAAGCAAUCACAGCAUCAUGAUCUUCAGAUGUUCGAAUAACAAAAUACCUUGAAGGAAGAAUACAAUGUAGAAUAUACAUCAUGAAACCACCUCUAGUCUCCAGAUAACAAAAAGUUACAAGAUUAGAAGCAAAGCAUAAAAAUAAGGCAUCAACUGAUAUUAAUUAUAAAUAAUACUACUGAAAAGUAAUCAUUCAAUUACAAUAAACAGAGACAAAGAGAAAAAGGAUAAAGAAGAAAUACUGAGAUUAAGCAAAGAAGAUAACAUUUGAUACAGAAAUAUAAUAACAAAUAAUAAAAAAGAAUUAUGCUAUUCACAAAGAAAUAACUCUAAUAAGAUACCAAAGUUACUGGCAUAGUUAAGAAAAAAGAAGAGAGAGAUUUAGGGCUACCUUCCAGUAUUUAAUUGUUUUGUCAUUUGUGGAAAGGAGAAAAAGUGCAGAAUUGGAUGUUUGGCACCACCUGAUCUUGUUGAUUUUCUCUUCUAUUUCCAAGCUUUUGAGAUAGUCAAACUAAAACAUUAACAGCAAAGUCAGCAGAAUGACACAUAAGGUAGAAUGAUGAUAUUGUAAUGCACUUUACAAUCAAUUACAUCAAUAAUUCAUUAAUUCUACAAUUUCAGCUAGACUGUUGCAGUCAAUAAAGGAGCCAGCGUGAAAAAUUAGACAUAAAUGUGUGAACUUUUCCAUAUCUCUACUUAAUUCCGCAUUUCUCUAAAAUAAUACCUCAGGUUCAUGACUCUGAAACUCAGUUUUGUAGCGAAACUCAGGAUGCCUACUAAUCGGGUAAUCUUGUCUCUCCAGCUCUCUUCGAUUACCAUGCUGCAAUGGAAUUGACCAGAAGUCUAUGUUAAUGUAAAAGAACAAUAUAAAGGGAAAGCAAUAGCAGUGCAAACCCAAGAUAAUCAACAUACAUUUCGAACAUCUGUCCUUUCAAAUAAAACUACACGUCCUCCCCGAUCUCCAGUAGCAAGAUGAUCUCCAGAUUUAUUAAAUUCUAUUGCAGAAAUAAUGUCGACUGCAAGAUAAGCUGCAUGUCAGCAAGCAAAACAGGAAUCUGCAGGGAACUAUCGCAGUGAAUUAACAAAAAAGGAAACGUCAUCUUCCCUAAUAUUGUUUGGAAAUAAUAGAAGAAGAAUGUGACCUGCUGGAUAAGAAAAUCACACAGAGACCCCUAAAUAUAGGCACAUUUGGAAUAGUUGACUUUUCUUUUUAUUGGUAUCCUCCUAACUUUUGGUGGAUUUGAAUUGAGUUACCAAAUGAACUAAUUUGGGGACUCUGCUAGUACCAGUGCCGCCAUCUUCUUCACCUCCAUUCUCUCCAUCCGACUCUCAUCCUCUUCAACUCCCAUCUUUGUCCUAGACUAUGCUACCAACAUUAGUGCUCCAACUUCAAGAACAACCAAGCAUAGCCGCUCUCUUCUCUCCUUCUGCUCAUACUGCAGCUAAUAAACCCUCACCCUCUUCUUCCACUCUCAUUUGUAGGCCCUCUAUAGCUCUGCUUUCACCUUACAACUGAUAGACACGAGUCCGUCAGGUGCACUUCAAGAACCAUCAGGGCAAUGAUUUGAAGGGCUGAAAUUAGCACUCUGACAACCGACUUACCAACAGAAUCCCCAUUUUAGCUGGCAGAAUAACUCAAAAGAAACCUACUGAAUGUUAAAGACUUGAAGUUCAAUAUAAUCGUAAAACAGUCAGAAGUUUGAUCGGGUGAUUAGUAAUCAGUAGAAAUUAUGCAUUAAAAGCUCACAAACUCAAUGGGCAGAAGUUAAAACUAUCGCCAAACAAAUCAAGCACCCGAUAUUCUCCGAGAAGCACCAAUACAAGCCAACAUAUAGUGUUCCACCUUCCACAAGUUAAAUCCAACUAUAAUAAGAAUUAAAGUUCUCGACUUUAUCACUAAUCCAAGUAGUCGAGCACCAAAAGUGCAACUUUUACACAAAUUCCAGCUGAACUAUACAUAAAACUCCCUUCAAAACCCUAAGUAACCAUUUCGGAAAACAAAAUCCUAUGACAUGAAUCUCUCUAAAUCGGAGGGAUCUAGAACAAGCUAGAAGGCGAGGACAUCGUACCUUCUUGCACUUCCUCCCCCGCCGUACGCUCCCCGAAGACCUGCGAGAAUUUCCACUCCAGCGGCGAGGCCGGCAGCGCCGACGACCCCCCGGUCCCCUCGGGCCCCUUUCCGUUCAUCGUCCGACGAGGAUCCCGGCGAGAUCGCGCCAAGGCAUCAACGAUCCGGCGGAGAUCGCGGCGUAGCGGGCUGGGAGAUCAACGGUCGGGGCUCGCCGACGGAUUCGCCGAGGGGGCGGUGGGGGCAAGGGCCAUGGACGAGGGUUUCGGAGAACGGGUGCGGUGGCAACGGAGACCGAUAACGCGACGAAAAUGAUAAUAAUACAAGGAGCUCUCUCUCUCUCUCUCUCUCUCUCUCGCGCCCUAGCGAGAGAAGGUGUUGCCUCUUAUUAUUUUCCCCUUUCUCGCCUUUCUUUUUUCGCCUUUUCUUUUAAAUAAAAUUAUUAUUGGAACUUCUCUCCUGUAUUAAGUGGAAAAAUGUACGGACUCCACCUCAACUAUACGCUCUUCUGAAAUCGAUUCCUAAGCUUUUUUUUUUUUUAUGAUAAGAUCCCUCAACUUCCAGUUUUUUAUUUUACCCAAUUUUUAUACUUAAUUAUGUCAACCAAGAAAAAUGGGUGGGUUAUUUUAGAAUAUCCAAUACUUCAAUACUUGAGAGGGUACCUGUAUAUUUUCACCGCAAAAAAGUAAAAAAAAAUUGAGACCCUUUAUUCAUACUCUUUUCUAAAGUAAACACCCCACUUAUUUUUGAAUAAUUAUAUUAGUAAGUUGUUAUAUAUAUGAGUGAUGAGUUAAAAAUAUAUAUUAAAUAGGGUAAAAUUUUUGCUAUGUGGAAAAUAAAUCUAAUUAAUUCGGCAUGAUUAUUUAUUUUAAUCAGAAUUAUUAGAAGCUCAGGGGGUCUAAAAUUUGACAGGCUACAUCAGAAUAGCUUAUAGCUGAGGGGUUUCUCCACAUUUCUAACACCAAUGGUCCCCGCACCGUACGAAAGACGAUACUACCCAGAGAAUUGGGUAAGGUUAUAAUGGUAAAAUCGCCUGCACCCGUACCCGGCCUAUGAAACAAUGCCAAACGAGGCUCGAUCAAAUUCGAGCCACAAAGUAAAUAAGUCUAUUUGACCAAAGGCCGUUUUUAGUUCCACGUAAAAUUAUUUUAAAUAUUUUUUUAAUUAAUAAAUAAAACUUUAAUAUUUAAUUGCUUGAAAAAAAAAAAGAAAUCAUUUUUUAUAGAUUCAGAGAAAAUGAGAUAUUUUCGUUUUUCGCUCUGUUACGGAAAAAAAAAAAAGAAAAAAAAAAAAAAACUAAACGCCCAAAAAAAUGAGACAUUGGGAGGAGAAGGGGCAGCCGAUAAAUGCGUUUCACCACGAGGUACACUCUAUCUCGUGCGACCCGCUUUGAGAGGAGACCUCGUGGACCUCUCUCUCCCCCCCCCCCACUUUUCUUUUAUAUAUAUAUAUAGAGAAGAGAGAGAGAGAGUACGGCUACCACACUAUUAUGAGUAGGAUGUCCUCGUACUCAUAAGUUAGUUUUCGAUGAUAGAGCUUCCGAAUCGACGAUCCACACCGUUAAACGUUAUUUACAACAUUUAAAACUUCUAGAAAUCAAUUUUAUAAUUUUCCACAUCAUUUACCUAUACGAUCAAGAGGUCACAAUUUUGACAAUUUUUAACGACCGUAUGGAUACUUGCUAGUUUAACAGUGUAAAAGAAUCGAAAUUGUUAAUUUUUGAUAGAAAAUUCUAUUCACUACAUAAAUAAAAGAUCAAUAACUCUGAUUUUGAAUUGAAGGAAUCCGAACAUCAUUCUUUUUUAGGAACAUCGUUCGAUUUGAAGAUAUAACACACUUGAUGGACCUUUUAAUAGAAAUUAUCGAAAUUAUGAAUAUAUAGAAGAUCUAAAUAAUGUAAACGGAGUGGAUACGAAAUUCGGAAGCUCACUAUCACCGAACAACACUUAAUAAACUACCCGAGAGCUCACAAUACUUAUAAUAAAGCUAAACAUAAACAUGGCACUAUAUAAGAAAAUAUUCUAUAUAUAAAUAUAUAUAUAAUAUAACAUUAUAUAUAUAUAUAUAUAUAUAUAUAUAUACUAUACUUAUAUAGCUAGAAACAAAUAUAGACAAAAUCCAAACCACAAAAAAACACCGAAAAAAAUAUAACUAAAACGAGACAAAAAAAUAGACGCAAAAAGCCAACAAAAUAAAACACAACAUAACCUUACACAACUAAAAGUUGAGUGUACGUACAGAUACAACCGUAAAUUAAUUAUUUCAAUAAUUAUUGUUAAUUAAUUAAAACAACUUGUACAGUUAUAUUAUUUCAAAUUUAAUAUUUAAAAUAAUUUAUUUAUUAUAUACACUAUUAGAAAAUACCGUCAUCUUCUUAAUUCAAUAUUAAAUAAUUGCUGUAAAAUAAUUAUAUAUGUUUUUUUUUUUUAUAAAAUUUAUAUAUAUGUAAAUAAUAUACAUGAAUUAUUUCUAUAUUUUUUAUUCUAAAUAAAGUUUUUAAUUUAUAUAUACUUUCAAUUAAAAGGUAUCAAAAUUUAAAAAUUAAUAUAAUAAUAAAAUAUUAAUAGAUAAAAUAGAGAUUAUAUUACUAUAUUAUAGAUAGACGAUAAAGAAGAAUUAAAUAAAUUUUGAAUUAAAUAAAGAGAUUAAAUAAAUUUGAGAUUUAAAUAAAUAGAAAGAAUAAUAAAUUUAGGAAUUAAAAUAUAGAUCCAUAGUAAAAUAUUUUUGCGGUUGACAAACUUUGAAUAAGCAUAUAAUUUUUUCUCCUAUUGUGCAAGAUUAAAAGUUUGUUAACUGUUAUUUAUUUUCACGUAGGAAAGAUGAAUCAAUUUUUUUUCCCGCCAAAAAAUGUGUAUGCCGCAGAUCCCGAAAUUGAAAUUACGCUGCUUCUAUAAUAAUAUAACUAUAUAUAUAUAUAUAUAUAUUACUAUAUAUAAUAUAUAUAUCAUUAUAUACUAAUAUAUAUUAUAUAUAUUAACCAAAAUAGUAUUUUGUUUUGAUUUAAGUUGUAAUAACUAUUAUACAUCAAAUCUGUUGCUAUUAAUAGAUUUUUGGCCGUUGAAACUAAAAAAAUGUAUGAUUAGGAAUAAUGUGUACCUCUAGGAUUUAGUGGUUAUUGUUUGAUAGUAUAAUUAAUGGUGAUAAAAAUCAAAAGUUAAAGUUCUUACGGCCGAAAACUCAUGCACCAAACGUUUGUUACUAUGAUAGUAUCCAGCCGACUCUUUUAUUUUAUAUGAAAUACUAUUAUUAUGUAAUAUUUAUUUAUAACAAUACAUAUUUUUAUUUAAAAUAUCUAGUAAUUUAUUUAUAGUUUAAAUACUAUACUUUAUUAUAAUUUAUUACAUACUAAUUAUUGUUUAAUAUAUUUUAAAUAUAUUUUUUAUAAAUAGUAAAUGAUAAUACUUAAUAUAUUAUUAAUCAUGAUCAUUUAGUACAUAUCAUAAUAAUAUUAAUAAUAAGAAUAAAUAAUAGUAUAUAUUAUAUUAUAUAAUAUAUAUACAAUACAUUUUUUUUCUUUCAACCAAAUAACCAUAACGAAAAAUUAUUUUUUUAUCCUACAACCCAAAAUAUAUAUAAAAUUAUUUUUCUCUGAAAAUUUUUUCUCACUGAUUUUUUUUUUAGUUUUACGUAAAACCAAACACAUCCUAAGAUAAAUGUAUUUAUAUAUUUAAACUCUAAAUCUUACAUGCCAUUAAGAACUUGUUAACGCUUUAUUUGUAUCAUUAUUUUUUUAGGUUUUUGAAUAAAGUAUCCAAUAAAAAGAGGGUCAGAUGUAAAGUGAUGAAGAUUCGACCGACUAGGUCAUAUAAUGUCAAAUGACGGAUCUGUGUAAACUAUAAUCAUCCGUCGACAAAUCAUUCUGUUUGAAUAUAAAUACUAAUUCUUUUAUAAAAUUAUAUAUAUAUAUAUAUAUAUUAUAUAUAUAUAAAAGCACGUAUAUUCAAAUUUGGGUCUGUCGACAGACCCAUUUUUUGGCGGGAAAAAAAUAUUGUUUCCUCUUUCCUUACGUAAAAUAAAUAACGUAAUGAAACAAACUUUUAAUUUCUGUUUAUCUCUAAAAUAGAAAAAAAAAAUAUACACUUAUCCAAAUUUUUGCCAACCGAAAGAUAUUUACUGUGAAUCUAUAUUUUAAUUAAAAUUUUAUUUAAUUUUUUUCUCUCUAAAAGAGAAAAAAAAUUCAUGCUUAUCCAAAUUUUUGCCAGAAUAUCUACUGUAAAUCUAUAUUUCAAUUCAAAAUAUAAAAUUAAUUUAAAAUUUAAAAUUUUGGGACUAUCUAUAUAUUACAAUGAAAAUAAUUAGAAGAUAGGUAUUGGUUGAUAAAUUUGUAAUAUAUUUUGAUUUAUUGAUAUAAAUUUUAUGAUCAAUUUGAUAAAAUAUAUCCAACGAAGAACAAACACAUUAUGAUUAAUUGUUUAAAAAAAAAAACGUUCAUUACUAUUACCUAUAACUUUAUUCUCAAACGAAUGGUAAAUCAUUUAAAAUGAUAGGAAAAUCAUGGAAAUAUUAAAACUAAAAUGACAAAAUUAUUAUUCAAUGUGUUAAAAGUAGAACUCUAUCCAUUUAUUUACAUAAAAAUUUAAAUUUGAGUUUUAAUUGUAAAUUAAAUUAAAUUUUUGAUUUUUUGAUAUCAAAUCUAUCACUCAUUUUUAUAUUUAAAAUUAAAAAUUGAAUAUGUAGAUAUUUUCAUAAUAAAAUGCAUAUAAAAUUUAGAAAAUAUUUUAUUUAAUUUGAAUAAAUAUUGAUUUACAAAUCUUAUUGAUUAAAUUAAAUUAAAAUAUAUUACGUAGCGUUGACGUAUGCCUCAACUAGUAUAUAUAAAAGACAUAGUUUCAAAUUUCGGUCAGAUCGACUGAAUCCAUUUUUUGCAGAAAAAAUUAAUUCCUAUUCAUUCACGUAAAUAUAAUACGACAUUAACAAACUUUAAAUUCCUCUCAUGUUUUACAAGCUGAAAAAAUUUAUGGCUUAUUCAAUUUUUCUACCGGAGAAAUAUUGCUUAUUCUCUUCUCUAUAUAUAUAUAUCUCUAUUCCUACUACUAAUAUUUUAAUUAUUAUAUUAACUGUUUAAUUUAGAUACUGUUUAGUUUAAAAUUAGUUUAAUAUUUUUAAAUUUAUUAGAAUUAAAAAAUAUUAAUGUUAUAUCUAUUAUCUUAAUGUAUCAUCUAUAUUCUAACUAAUAUGUAAUUUAUCAGAAAAAUAUUUAUGUUAUCUAUUAUCUACAUAUAUAUAAAUUUUUAAAAUAAAAAAAAACCUAAUAUAUUAUGUGACAAAAUAUGGUAGGUAUUUCUAAUAGUAUAUAAUAAAUAAAUUUUUACUUUUAAAAAAAUUGUAUAUUUUAAUAAAUAUGAUGGACAAUUUACAAUAGUACUAUAUAAUAUAUGCAUAUAUAUAAUAAUAUAUAUAUAUAAUAUUAUACUAUAUAUAUAUAUAUAUGAGUCCGGCUACUAUACUCCUAUGAGUACGAUCUACGUACUCAUAAGUCGUUUUCGAUAAUAAGCUUCCGAAGCGACACAUUCGUACCGUUAAAACGUUAUCUACAGCAUUCUAAAACUUAAAAAUCAAUUUUAUAAUUUUAUUCGGAUUCUUUACCUUUACGAUCAAAUGUCCAAAAUUAAACAAUUUUUACUACGUCGGUAUGGAUACUUGUGUUUUUAACAACUAUAAAAGACUCGAAAUUGGUUGAAGUUUGAUAGAAAAUAUAUUGCAACAAUCUAGAUAAAUAAUGUAUUACUUCGAUCUUAAAUAAAGGAUCCGAUCAUUAUUUUUUAUGAUCGUUGUUCCGAUUUUGACCGUUCAUUGUUAUGCCCGUUUUGAUGACUUUAUUAUGAUUUCGAAAUUUCGAAAUUAUAUUUCUUAAAUGUUUCAAAGUUACUCUGAUGCAUUUUAUACGACAGUGGAUUGUCGAUUCGGAGCAUCCAUGCAUUGAAAACAAUUAUAAGUACGGAAGUUCAUACUAUAUAUAUAUAUAUAUAUAAUAUAUAUACACGUAGGUAUAUUUAUAAUAUAUAUAUAUUAUAUAUAUAUAUAUAUAUUUACUUAUAUAUAUAUAUAUACAUUGAGCUCCUAUGCUUUUAAAAGUCACAAAGUUUAUAUCGUGCUGUUGAUUUUAACAUUAGGUUAAGAGCAUAUGCGGUCUAGAAUGAUGUAGGGCCCCUAGGGAUUGAGUGUCGGGUGCGUUAGUUGAUAGUAUAAUCUAAUGGAUUGAAAAUGAUCCGAGAAGUAAUCUACGGCUUAAAAAAACUUACAAGCACAAGUACUUGGUGUUUUCAAGGCCCUAUAGCUGCACUAUAUAAACCUAUAACUAUA